This 78988-nucleotide long non-coding RNA is filed under the name Triticum aestivum (bread wheat). RNAcentral describes it as "long non-coding RNA (TAES_LNC003252)". The stretch from base 1062 to 1186 matches the Rfam family "MIR1120/MIR1122 microRNA precursor family". Lineage: Eukaryota; Viridiplantae; Streptophyta; Magnoliopsida; Poales; Poaceae. The record is from RNAcentral.
UUUUAUGCCCACAUAUGAUGGCCCAAGCAACUUUGCAAACAACCUCAUUGGUCACCGCCUAUACUAUGGUUUCCGUACCACCAUCACGCCAAACAGGAAGGCCCUUGCUCCGAUAUUCAUGGACAGGGAAGUAGGCUCGACAGCUGGUUUUGAGGAGCGAGUGAGGCAGGUCAUGAUGAAGACAUAUAUUGGUGGCCCCCACAAGCGCAUUCAUCCGGAACCUUUCUAUACAAACUCAUGGCCAGAGUGCUUUUGCCAGGAGAACCCUAGGAAUCAUGCAGACAAAUGCCCACCGGACAAUAUAUACGAGGUUCUGGAGAAUCAAUUUCGGAGUGAAGAGAAUGAAGAAAGUAUAGAAGUGAAAGCCACGAGUCAGACUGAUUCAAUCAGCCAAACCGAAGAGACUGUGAUUUAACUGAGGAACCAAACUGUCAUUGCCUUAGAGGACGAGACUGGAUCAUUUAUGCCCGUAGAAGAUUAUUGCAUUUUCGAAUGGAUUGACUAUCGAGGGUACGGUCAGGCCUAAUAAACUUUCUGAUGGAGGUAGUAUUUCAUCACAAAAAAGUCACAAAAAAUUACACAUGCAGUCUACAUCCAUAUGAGCAUUUAGUUUUUUUGGGUUUUUUUUUGAAACUUCAGAAUACCAUUUUGGCACUAUUGAAAAUAUAGUGCUCACUGGAGCGGGUGCACCAAAGUGUUCUUUUGUUGUCUCCCCGUUUCUCGUUUCUGCGAUGAUUACUAGCUUGGUGUUUUGUUGGAGACACAUAAUGGAACAAGAACCCAACUUUACAUUACUAAUGAAAGCACACCGCCAACCCUCUGGCCAGUGGUGAAAGAUUGCAAGCUACGUUUCGUGGGAUGAUGCCCCAACCAUCGGUUUCAUUAGUCACUAGGUCUCGUGGGGUGAUCCUCAACCAUAGGUUUCUUGAGCUGUUUCUAGCGGCACGCCAUUGUGGUCUUCAAAGUUGGUACGGCGAGGGCACUUGCAGAUGUAUCUUUCACUUACUAUCUGUUAAGUGCAAUUUUCAAGUUUCAGCAAGCGCCGCACAAUGGGAGUGUUGAGAAUACUCCCUCCGUCCGGAAAUACUUGUCGAAGAAAUGGAUGUAUCUAGACAUAUUUUAGUUCUAGAUACAUCUAUUUUUAUGCAUUUCUGCGACAAGUAUUCUUGGACGGAAGGAGUAUUUGGUAUUUAAAGAUGGACUGUGCUAACUUUUGAAUAGUCGGAAGUUAGCUACAUAUCCAGACGAUUUGAUCAAGUAGUAUAUCUACUAGGUGUACGCCGUGCUCCUGUUUUUUCCUAAACCAAACUCAUUCAGUAUUAUUUUCCCCUAAUUGCUACAUGCAUGCAUGUAAGACAAAAUUGCUAAUGUGAGCAGAGAUUCCAUCAAAUUCAAAAAUUUAAAAUGUUUUGUAACUCAAAUCAUCCUUUGAUUGAAAAACUGUUUUCACAUAAAAGAUCAUCCCAUGGCGAUACAUUUCGAUGAUUUUUUUUCUCUGGUAAGAAGUUGCCAUCAUGCCUAUGAUGCAUAAGUUAUCAUGUUGUUUACAUAGAAAUUACCGGGGCAUAAAAAAAAGUUCCUCCAACAUUCUUUUCACAAGCACAUGUGUGCAUGCAUUAGAGAAUUUUUUAAUGUCAUCCUAGUCCUCCCUGUUUGAGACUUCAAAAUGUUUUAUAGCUCAAAAUCAUUGGUCCCAUAGAAAAUUUGUUUUCACAUAUAAAAUCCAUGGCGACGGGACCUUUGAAACUAGAUCUCAUGUUGACAUGUUCUGACGACUUUUUUUCAUGCAAAUAGUUACCAAGGCUGGGCUAAGUAAGUUAUCAGGUCUGAUGUGUGUCUAUUAUCAUGCUAUUUACACAUGAGUUAUGGUGGUACAUUUUCAACAACUAUUUUCUUAGUACAAAGUUACCGCGAUGUUUGUGCGUGAGUUAACAUGCCUGUGGUAUGUAUAUUACCAUGCUAUUUCGCAUAAGUUAUCGAGGGUAUGUUUUCAAACAAGUUCCUCCCCGGGUCAAAGUUAUCACGGUGUUUGUACAUGAGUUAUCAAGUCAACGGUGCGUAUAUUGUCGUGAUAUUUAUACGGAACUUGUCGGGAGGGGGGGGGGGGGGAUAUGUUUUCAAACAACUUUCUCCCCUGCCACCACCCCCUUCAAACUUACCGCGGUAUUUAUGUGUAAGUUAUCGUGUAUAUGGUGCCUACAGUACCAUAUUAUUUAUAUGGAAGUUAUUGGGGAUGUUUUUAAACACCUCCCCAGGCAAAGUUAUCAUGGUGUUUGCGCAUGUGGGUGUAAAUUAUCAUGCUAUUUAUGCUGAAGCUAUCGGGAUGUCUUCAACAACUUUUUCUCCCGGGUCAAAGUUAUCAUCGUGUUUGUGCAUGAGUUAUCAAGUCCGUGGUGUAUUAGUUAUUAUGCUAUAUACGCAGAAGCUAUCGGGAUGUGUUCAACAACUUUUUCUCUUGGGUCAAAGUUAUCACGGUGUUUGUGCAUGAGUUAUCAGGUCUGUGAUGUGUAAAUUAGCAUGUUAUUUCCGCAUAAGUUACCCGACUUGUAUCACAUGUAGCCAGAUAACUACAAAAAAUUAACCAUGUUGGUAACUAUAGUACAUCGAGCCCGAUAACUACAAAAUAACCAUGUUGAUAACUAUAGUACAUCUAGCCCGAUAACUACAAAAUAACCAUGUUGAUAACUAUAGUACAUCUAGCUCGAUAACUUCAAGAAGCUGCCGCCGUCUCGUCUUCCCGAGCGAGACACAAACCCUAACAAAAUUUAAAGCACCAAAAAAUUGAGCCCUCUCGCCGGCAACAGCCGGGAUCCACCGCGCACCCAUCGCGCUAAGGCCACAAGAGACAUGGUAGAUCGACGACGCCGACGACGAGCGGAAGAAACCCUACCCGCCUUUUCUUGGAGGAGAGACUACCUCUAUAUCUGGAUAAUUAAUUGUGUUAAUGGCUCGGUAUGUGAUACGUAAGUCACCACGGUACUUACACAAAACUUAUCAGAGUAUGUUUGAACAGUUUUUUCCAUUGGCUUAUAUGUUAUCAUGGUAUUUAUAUGUAAGUUAUCAGGUCCGUGACACGUAUAUUAUCAUGCUAUUUACACAGAGGUUACUCAGGAUGUUUUUAAUAGUUUUUUCAGGUAAAAAGAAGCUACUGCGAUGUUUCUAUGCAAGCUAUCAAGUUUGUGGUGCAUAAAUUAUCAGGACCUUUACGAAGAAUUUAUUAGCGAUGUUUCAAAACAAACUCUUUUUUGUGACACAUGUGAAAAAGACUGUUGUUCGAAUUUUAUAGGGUGUGGAACAUUUAUUUCUCUAGAUAAUGUUCAUCAUAUGAAAAAGGAAAAGUAUAACACGAUGCAUCAAGCCUUUAAAAAACUCGGAUCAGAUGGUUUUGUCCACUCGUCAAAGUAAGCACGAUUUUAUUGUCCACUCAUUUAAUAAGGUAUACAAUCCAUCUAAUCUAUAUAAAAAAUCAGAACAAAAACUUAGCUCAACUGUUAGCGCACUAUGGCCUCAACCAAUAGGUUGUGUGUUCAAUUCUCUAUUAGGGCCCCUUUUUUCACACGAGACUGAAAGAAAGAGGAUCGAGCGGUUUGUGGCGUGAGAGAAGCGGAUCGAUUUGGUUUUCUUUUGCACUCAUUUAAUAAGGUAUAAAAUACAUCUAAUUUGCAUAAAAAAACCAGAACAAAAAGUUAGCUCAGCUGGUAGUGUGCUACGGCCUCAACCAUCAGUAGCACCUUUUCUUUCUUUUCACGCGCGAGACUGAAAAAAAGAGGAUCGAGCGGUUGUCGCGCGGGAGAAGUGGAUCGAGCGGUCGCCGGGUCGGACCUGUCGUUACAUUCCGAUCGUUUGGAAGUUAGCUUUCUCGUUUAGAGAUUGUUUGGGAUUAGAUAGGAAUUGCUUCCAUCUUAUCUCUAGGAGGCGUCUGUCGGUGCACUAAGGGUGGGUUUGGUUCGGGAACGAAGUGGAAUGGAAUGUCAUGGUUCCAUUCCAGUGUAAUGGGUCGGUUCUGUUCGUGUGUUUGGUUGAGAUAUUUGAUGGAAUAGAAUGGUUAUGUUUCAGCGUUUGGUUUGAGUGAUGGAAUGGAAUGAAUUCAGUUCAAAACAUCUCCUGUAUAAAAAUGAUGAGACUGCAUCUCAUAUGCACAAAUAUACAAUAUGAAAGUAUAAAAUCUUUGUAUUUUUGGAAACAUAAUAUUGAAAUUACCAUAGCAUUUAUAUCAAAUUGUACAUUGACACCAAAUAUGGUAUUCUCUCAAUUGAAUAUUUACGUUGAAUUGUUUCCUAUUGAGAGGACAUAGACGGGUAAAAAAUCAUGAAUGGGCACACAAUCAAGGAAAUUUUGCUCAAAGUUUUGUGACUAUUUAUAUUCGAUUGGAUUUCAAUCAAGAAAAAUUGCUCCCUGUUGCAGCCAGCGACGGGCAGUGAUUGCGUGGGGUAGCCGGAUAGGUGGCCGUCGGAGCUCAAAAGGGGAUGGUCGUCGCAGCUCGCAAGGGGAUGGCCGCCGCCUCAUCAGAUCAAGACGUCAAGUCGCCGCCGUCUCCUAGCAGAUCAGGACGUCGCUGCCCUGUUGUGGAUCCGCUGCCCUGGUCACCGCGCCCAGAUGUGGAUCCGAUGGCUUGGUCGCCGCUGCUCAUCCGUCGGGCUUGGAGAGAGGAGCGCGGAGGAGCAACAGGAGACGAGAGGGGUUGGGGAGACGGAGAGUGCAUCGGUAGGGGAUGUGGAGUGGGUGAGAGGUCGUUCCGCGUCGUUCCACCAAAUUGGAGAAACGAGCGCGUUCCGGAUAUUGGUGGAAUAUUCUCUUUCGGGGAACGAGUGGGUUCUAGUCCGUUCCUGAUCUAAACGCGAGAACCUGGCCCUGGGACGGGUCGGACCCGUGCCAUUCCGUUCGAUGACUGAAACUAAACAGACCCUAAGAACGGGGUCCUUAGUACCCCAGACUUCUUCUUCUUCUGCUCCCCUCCUACUCUUCCUCCUCCUCUUCCUCCUCCUCCUCCUCCUCCUCCUCCUCCUCCUUAUCCUUCUUCUUCUGCUUCUCCUUCUCCUUCUUCUCCUUCUUCUUCUCCUCCUUCUUCUCCUCCUUCUUCCUUCUUCUUCUCCUUCUCCUACUCGAGAAGAGUAAGGGAGGAUUGGGUUGGUGUGAGGGCGGCGGCAGCGGCGGAGGCGGCAAAACUGUUUCUGGUGGGUAGAAGAAGAAGGAGCGGGGGAGAACAAGAGCGAAUGAGCAGCGUCCGUUCGCAGUUAUUUUUUAUGGGGAAGGCACGAGGGGGCUAGCUCUUCACUGUUCUCCCUGGUCGCGUGUAACACCCCGAGGCCGACGCUCCAGUUGCCUUCCAGUUAUUUCAUUGUCAUAGUGUGUUUUAUUUGUUUAUUGCAUUUCAUCAUGUCAUCAUGAGCAUUGCAUCCACAUGUUUUCAUAAAAUUGCAUCCGCUCGUAGUUGCCGCUUCAUCCUUGUCUCUGCUGACCUUCUCUCAGAUCAACCGGACCGCUCACUUCUCUAUCUUAUCAGAGCCCAUCAAACCCUCUUGCCUCCAUGACCUUUUGUCAAACCCCUCACACAUGUCCGAAAGCUGUCCCGAACCCGACCCAAGCAGUCGUGACCAAUGGGUCUGGAUCAUCUCCGAACAUCCCUAAAACAUCUUCAGUUUAUUGUUUGGACUGUUGGGAAACAUUGCAUGGAAAACAAAAAUUCUUCUACGCACACGCAAGAUCUAUCAAGGAGAUGGAAACGAGAGGGGAGAGUGUGUCUAUGUACCCUCCUAGACCGUGAGCAGAAGUGUAUAGUAAUGCGAUUGAUGUAGUCAAACUUCUUCGCGAUCCAACCAAUAGAGUACCGAACGUACGACACCUCUGCGUUCAACACACGUUCAGCUCAGUGACGUCCUCGCCUUCUUGAUCCAGCAAGAUGGCCAAGUAGUGGAUGAGUUCCGGUAGCACGAUAGCAUGGUGACGGUGAUGGUGAAGUUAUCUCCGCAGGGCUUCGUCUAAACACUACGAAAAUAUGACCGAGGGUGUAAACGGUGGAAGGGGCGCCGCACAUGGCUAAGCAAUUGUCGCGGUUAUGUGUGGCGUCCCCUCCCACAUAUAUAUAGGUGGGGGGGGGGGGAGAGGGGAGAGGCCAAGGGGUUCCCCAAGUAGGGCUGAAUCCUAGUUGGGCUCCUGCCCUUGCCCGCGCCCCCCUUCCAUAUUUGCUGGAGGGGAAAAGGGAAAGGGGGGAGAGGGAAGGAAGGGGGAGGCCGAAUCCUCCUUUCCUUUCUCCCACUUGGACGGCUGCCAUAGGGGGUGCACCAGCCCCUUGUGGGCUGGUGUUCUCCCCUCUAAUGGCACCGUCCCAGGGGUGUUCGAUACCCCCUCCGGUAUUCCAUGACUACUCGGUACACUACGAAACACUUCCAGUGUCCGAAUAACAUCGUCCUAUAUAUCAAUAUUUACCUCCGGAUCAUUCCGGAGCUCCUCGUCAUGUCCAUGAUCUCAUCCAGGACUCCGAACAACAUUCGGUCACCAAAUCAUAUAACUCAUAUAACACUAUAUCGUCAAUGAACGUUUUUAUGGGGAAGGCACGAGGGGGCUGGGUCUUCACUGUUCUUCCUGGUCGCGUGUAACACCCUGAGGCCGACGCUCGAGUUGCCUUCCAGUUAUUUUAUUCUCUUCAUGUGUUUUAUUUGUUUGUUGCAUUUCAUCAUGUCAUCAUGAGCAUUGCAUCCACAUGUUUUCAUAAAAUUGCAUCCGCUCAUAGUUGCCGCUUCGUCCUUGUCUCUUGUGACCUUCUCUCAGAUAAACCGGACCGCUCACUUCUCUAUCUUAUCAGAGCCCAUCAAACCCUCUUGCCUCCAUGACCUUUUGUCAAACCCCUUGCGCACGUCCGAAAGCUGUCCCGAACCCGACCCAAGCAGUCGUGACCGAUGGGUCUGGACCAUCUCCGAACAUCCCUAAAACAUCUUCGGUUUAUUGUUUGGACUGUUGGGAAACGUUGCAUGGAAAACAAAAAUUCUUCUACGCACAUGCAAGAUCUAUCAAGGAGAUGGAAAUGAGAGGGGAGAGUGUGUCUACGUAACCUCGUAGACCGUAAGCAGAAGCGUUUAGUAAUGCAGUUGAUGUAGUCGAACUUGUUUGUGAUCCAACUGAUCGAGUACCGAAUGUACGACACCUCCGUGUUCAACACACGUUCAUCUCGGCGACGUCCUCGCCUUCUUGAUCCAGCAAGACGACCAAGUAGUGGAUGAGUUCCAGUAGCACGAUGGCAUGGUGACGGUGAUGGUGAAGUUAUCUCCGCAGGGCUUCGCCUAAGCACUACAAAAAUAUGACCGAGGGUGUAAACGGUGGAAGGGGCGCCACACAUGGCUAAGCAAUUGUUACGGUUAUGUGUGGAGCCCCCUCCCACAUAUAUAUAGGUGGGGGGGGGAGGGGAGAGGCCAAGGGGUGCUCCAACUAGGGCCGAAUCCUACUUGGGCUCCUGCCCUUGCCCGCGCCCCCCUUCCAUAUUUGCUGGAGGGGAAAAGGGAAAAGGGGGGAGAGGGAAGGAAGGGGGAGGCCGAAUCCUCCUUUCCUUUCUCCCACUUGGACGGCUGCCAUAGGGGGUGCGCUAGCCCCUUGUGGGCUGGUGUGCUCCCCUCUAAUGGGCCAAUAGGCCCAUUACCGUCCCGGGGGUGUCCGGUACCCCCUCUUGUAUUCCGAUGACUACCCGGUACACUCCGAAACACUUCUGGUGUCCGAAUAAUAUCGUCAUAUAUAUCAAUCUUUACCUCCGUACCAUUACGGAGCUUCUCGUCAUGUCCAUGAUCUCAUCCAGGACUCGGAACAACAUUCAGUCACCAAAUCAUAUAACUCAUAUAACACUAUAUCGUCGACGAACAUUUUUAUGGGGAAGGCACGAGGGGGCUGGCUCUUCACUGUUCUUCCUGGUCGCGUGUAACACCCCGAGGCCGACGCUCCAGUUGCCUUCUAGUUAUUUCAUUGUCUCCGUGUGUUUUAUUUGUUUGUUGCAUUUCAUCAUGUCAUCAUGAGCAUUGCAUCCACAUGUUUUCAUAAAAUUGCAUCCGCUCGUAGUUGCCGCUUCGUCCUUGUCUCUUGUGACCUUCUCUCAGAUAAACCGGACCGCUCACUUCUCUAUCUUAUCAGAGCCCAUCAAACCCUCUUGCCUCCAUGACCUUUUGUCAAACCCCUUGCGCACGUCCGAAAGUUGUCCCGAACCCGACCCAAGCAGUCGUGACCGAUGGGUCUGGACCAUCUCCGAACAUCCCUAAAACAUCUUCGGUUUAUUGUUUGGACUGUUGGGAAACGUUGCAUGGAAAACAAAAAUUCUUCUACGCACAUGCAAGAUCUAUCAAGGAGAUGGAAACGAGAGGGGAGAGUGUGUCUACGUAACCUCGUAGACCGUAAGCAGAAGCGUUUAGUAAUGCGGUUGAUGUAGUCGAACUUGUUUGUGAUCCAACUGAUCGAGUACCGAAUGUACGACACCUCUGCGUUCAACACACGUUCAUCGCAGUGACGUCCUCGCCUUCUUGAUCCAGCAAGACGACCAAGUAGUGGAUGAGUUCCAGUAGCACGAUGGCGUGGUGACGGUGAUGGUGAAGUUAUCUCCGCAGGGCUUCGCCUAAGCACUACAAAAAUAUGACCGAGGGUGUAAACGGUGGAAGGGGCGCCACACAUGGCUAAGCAAUUGUUACGGUUAUGUGUGGAGCCCCCUCCCACAUAUAUAUAGGUGGGGGGGGGAGGGGAGAGGCCAAGGGGUGCUCCAACUAGGGCCGAAUCCUACUUGGGCUCCUGCCCUUGCCCGCGCCCCCCUUCCAUAUUUGCUGGAGGGGAAAAGGGAAAAGGGGGGAGAGGGAAGGAAGGGGGAGGCCGAAUCCUCCUUUCCUUUCUCCCACUUGGACGGCUGCCAUAGGGGGUGCGCUAGCCCCUUGUGGGCUGGUGUGCUCCCCUCUAAUGGGCCAAUAGGCCCAUUACCGUCCCGGGGGUGUCCGGUACCCCCUCUUGUAUUCCGAUGACUACCCGGUACACUCCGAAACACUUCUGGUGUCCGAAUAAUAUCGUCAUAUAUAUCAAUCUUUACCUCCGUACCAUUACGGAGCUCCUCGUCAUGUCCAUGAUCUCAUCCAGGACUCCAAACAACAUUCAGACACCAAAUCAUAUAACUCAUAUAACACUAUAUCGUCAACGAACGUUAAGCGUGUGGACCCUACGGGUUCGAGAACUAUGUAGACAUGACCAAGACACCUCUUUGGUCAAUAACUAAUAGCGGAACCUAGAUGCCAAUAUUGGAUCCUACAUAUUCUACGAAGAUCUUUAUCGGUCGAACGUUAUGACAACAUACGUAAUUCCCUUUGUCCAUCGGUAUGUUACCCCAAGAUUCGAUCAUCGAUAUCUUCAUACCUAGUUAAAUCUCAUUGCCGGCAAGUCUCUUUACUCGUUCGGUAAUACAUCAACUUGCAACUAACUCCUUUGCCACUUUGCUUGCAAGGCUUCUUAUGAUGUGUAUUACCGAGAGGUCCCAGAGAUACCUCUCCGAUACUCGGAGUGACAAAUCCUAAUCUCGAUCCACUUAACAUUACAACAUAUAACCAUCUCAUACAUAAACUCAUUAUUAUGACGAAGGCUAUACCACAUCAUAUGCAAACCCUGCAAAACCAAGUUAGACGUCCUCUAAUCGGUUUGGAAAAUUUAAUUACGUGGCUUCUAGGGUUUUCGAAUAAACCUAACUACCUACAUGCACACCAUAAAGUGAUAAUCCUUGUUGCCAGAUUAACUUUCGUGGUGUGUGAAAGAAGAGACUUAAUUAAAAAUCUCGUUCCCCCACACUAAACUAAGUCUAAUACAUGUGACCCCCUAGAAGAUCAUCCAUCUUCAUCGCCCUCUUGCGUACGCGACGGUUCACUAUUCUUGACUAUGGUGAAGCCCAAGGAACUGUUAGCAAAUUGUCCACAACCAGAGUUGAGAGAUUGUCAGAACCUUGUAGAAAGCGACACCAUGUCGUCAAUGAACUGAACCGAAGCAACACUCGGGGGAAGCAUAGCAAGAACAUCACCCUCACAUUGAUAUUAAAUUAAAUAUAUAUUUGUUUUAAACAUUUUUAGACCAUGAUGUAUAUAAUUUAACAUCCCCAGAAACAUUUUCCACACAUAUAUAUAUUAAUCGGUAAUACCCAAUAUUCACCGAAACCCUUCCGGUGAACCCGAAACGCUUCCGGAACCUCUCAGAGCUAUUUCGGAUAUUAAUGAAACAAUUCCACAAAUAUAUUCUCAUCAUUCUCGUCCUACUAACACUCAGUAGAUCGUGAUUACCUUAAGCUUGUGACCCCUUAGGUUCGGUAAACCAUAGACAUGAACGAAAACUUUUCGUUCAAUGACCGAUAGCGGAACCAUGGACAUCCAUAUCGGUCGCUGUGAUUAUACGAAUGAUAUUUGAGUGAACCUUUGGUUAUCAUGUGAUGUUCCCUUUGCUUCACGAUACUUAACAAAACCACGUGUGCAUCGGUAUCCUCUUGAGUCAUCACCAUGCUCACUAUACUGUUGCUCUCGUUACCGGUUUUGUUCUUUCUCGUUGACGUGUUCCGGCAUCCCCGUGACUUAGUCACCCGUGUUUGGCCAGCUGAUGAUGGAUGCCGUCACACCGAGAAGGCCCUAAGAAUAUCUCCCCAUUGUUGGAGGAGCAAAUCGCACUCUCGAGCUGUCUAGUCACUUGUCAAACUUUCCGGUGUGCAUGAAAGUUGUCGUUAUGAUCACCUUGUUACAGAUGACGUUUGAGCAACCCCAAAGCCCACCGUCUGGUAGGAAGUGACUGAGACACUCUCAUGGUCCGAGGAACUAAAACUCAUGCUAACACUCUGUGUUAUACCAGAUGAUUUCAGACGAUAUAAUCACAUAGUAUAACAGACAAGUAUUUGGUCGAUUCAAUAUGAUCGUUCUUCUAACGUCAUACCCUCAAUGUUGUUCUAGGAUUGUCGUUACACUUAAUGAUAUCCUAAGAUCCGAAAAACGUGAUCACCAACAACACUUGAGCCAGUCUUAGUGGCGAGAUCGGGAACCUAUUGUUACCGUUUAUCAUUCCACAUGUGCAUAUGAGUUUUCCAUUAAACCGCAUAUUCUAGGAUCCUAACAGUUAUAGCAUGGAAUAUAAACUCUUAACUAUGAAUAUGGAAAUAUAGUAAUACAAUAUUAUUGCCUCGAAGGCAUAUUUCCAACACCUUGUAGCUAGAACUGUGAGAUACAUGUGUAUGAAUAUCUGUUGAAAUCCACCGGUGAUGCAUGGUUUGACAAAUUGGUAUUCAGAGCAAGAAUUCCUCGGAGGCCAAUCGAGUUAUGGAGCAAGCGUUGUUGAGAUCUCUUGUAGAACCCCCCCUUUUGCAACGACGGUUUUGAACUUUGUGUGGCCGUGAUUAGACGACGACGAUUCCAUUCAGGUGUAGUUCAGAAGCCACCAAUGUGGUUGUUGGGGAAUUUUUUUCCUUGUAAAAUUCCAUACAAGAUUCGCUCUGUAGACCUUGUCGGCGUCCCGGUUGCUGCGGUGAGAUUUGAUCGCUAGGGCGGGUUGUGAGCAAGUCUCAACAUGAAAUUCCCACUAGGGCAGUUUGUUGAGCAAGUCUCAAUGUGAAAUUCCUUCUUGGAUCAUUUAGAUGUGAAAAUGUGAAGAGGAAACCCAAGCAUGGAUGAGGCCGAAUACCAAGACCUCCUAUCCAUGAAGGGCGACGUCCUUGAGUAUCAGAAGGAGACUGCAUCUCUUCUCUCAGACAUGACAAUAUUGCAAACUAAGGUACGAUUAUCGACUCGAGUUGGAUUAUCUGUGGGUUGCGCCCCUUGGUCCUGUCGGACCAUGUCGUGCGCUGGUAGCUCUCAUUACCAUGCCUCCCAAGUAGGCACGAUGCCUGACCGACUGCUAGGCUCGAGUGGUUGACUCCACGCCUGAUCAUGGGAUGUGUUGAGCCCUCUGGUUGACAGGCAUGCCCUUAUGUUGUGUCCUUGUUAGUAGCCCCCGAGUGCCGCGUGACCUACUUGCCGGGAGGUUGCGUGGGACUUGUUUGAUCUACUCGCUCCCAUGUGAAGGUGAAACCUUGGAUCAAGACAUUUGAGGACCAACCUUUUCGAGUAUUGACCAACGAUCAGUUGAUGGUACGCUGUGUUGACCGAAGGUCCACCGACUGCAAGGAGAAAGAUUCUCAUGGUACGCCAUGUUGACCGAAGGUCCACCGACUGCAAGGAUAAAGAUUCUCAUGGUCCUUGGCCCUCUAAUUGACUGAGGGCAAGGGACGAAACAGGGGCCGGUACGCCAAGUCUUGCUGUCCAAUGUUCGUGAUGCCAUUAGGAGGUUUGGGAACCAAGGCAUGCUUGCGUGGGGUGUUGAGUUACCAUUCUAAAUGGUUGCAUCGGAGCUGAUGUGGUGAUUCCCGAGGGUGGGGGUGUUUUGGUUUCCCUUUUGCCUAUAAGAUAGGCGGCGAUGAGGAGCAGUGAGGUUACCAAGCCCUUCUUGCCUUCGUCUUCCUUGCUGCCGUGUCAGGACCCCGAUUCCAUGCCACACCGAUCUGGCAUGUAACACCUCAUAUCACUUUGCGGCCUCACGCACGGUAUUCCCACGGGUGUCGCCUUACCAUGCCCGGGACCGUUUGCGCCUUUUGGUACACGUAUAUGAUAGUGUCGCCAGCAUCCAUAUGACAAACAACCCGGGCUGGCAUGGCUAGUCGUGAACCCAAAGUGGCACUAACUUACAGGGACAUGCAUACAUGACCCAUCAUCGAACGUGUCGGUCAUCAGCGAGUGAAUCCGGGCUGUAGCAACUGGGCUAGCAGGACUCCGGUAAACCGGGCUGUAGCAGGCUAACAGGACUCCGGUAGACACCGCGUGACAUUUCCCCGAGGGGACAAACACAGGAUCGAAGAAGGACACAUGUCGGCCAACCUAAGUGUUCCGGAGCAGUAGCAAGUUACCAGGGCUCAGUGGAAGCACUAGGAGACAUUUCCCGGUAAGAGAGGCCACUAAGGAUAAACAACUAGAUAGUCAGAUCCCACACAUAGCAAUACACAUUACACAUACGCAUAACAUGCAAGUAUGUGCUGUACAACAUGGCAUCACAGCAUAACUCAACAACUCAUAUAGAUAAAGGCUCAGAAGAGCCAUCAUAGCAUUUAUUACAAACAGGGGUCACAUGACCCAACAUUCAGAGCAAACAAGCAACAAGCGGAAGCAUUACAUGUCUGAGUAUAGACAUCUACAAAUGAAAAAGGCUAAAGAGCCUGACUAUCUAUAACAUCCGAUCAAGAUCGUAGCUGAGGUUCAAGCUACUCGUCGAAGUCCACGAGAACACUAGUAAGACCGAAGUCUCCGCUGCAAAAACAUAAAUAAAGCAACAUGAGUACAAAGGUACUCAGCAAGACUUACAUCAGAUCCUAUCAUACAUGCAUUUGUAUCAAGAGGGUAAUGUGGGGUUUAGUUGCAGCAAGCCAGCUGUGACUCAGUGGCUAUCCUGUUCUACGACUACGAGAAACUCUUGAGGUGAGACAAUGUAACGCCCCGGUUUUGAUGCGCCAGGUGUCUGCCAGUUAUUCGCCGUCAUUGCCAUGUCAUUUGCUUGCGUGUUGCAUAUUGCCAUGUCAUCAUCUUCAUAUCAUCCGCAUGUUUUUCAAAACUUGCAUCCGUUCGGGUUCCGCCGGUUCUCUCCGUUGUCCGUUCGGAGUCCAGACACACUCGCACGCGCCCGCGGCACCUCCGAGAUAUUAUUUUAUAAGUGGCAUAAAAAUGUUCUCGGAAUGGGAUGCAACUUGGCGUGUGGUCUUAUUAUAGUGUAGACAGAGCGCCUGUCAAGUUUCGUCGCAUUCGGAGCUCGUUUGAUAGCCCAACCAUCAGUCAUAGCGGCACCGUUGCCGGUUUAUUCGUCGGACGUUUUCGGUCUCCGGAAAUAGCCGCUGGGCUGCAUUCCUCCUCUUUCCUCUUAGCCCAACCCCUCUUCACAGCCCACUUGCAGCCACCUAAACCCCCCUCCGACCGGAACCGUGGGAUCGCGAUCGGAGGGUCCAGAAACGCCCCCAAACCCUCAAACCCUAGCUCCUAUCUAUAUAUAGACGCCUCCCUUGCCAUUUUUGGCCUCCACCAACCUCCUCCCUCAAUUUCCGCGCAGCCAGCCACCUCCCACCUCGGUUCCACCGCCGCCAGCCGCAGCCCGCCACUUGGCGCCGCCGCCGCGCCCCGGACCAAUCCAGGCGCGCCACGUCACCCAGUGCGCCGUUCCCCUCCACUCACGCGCCUCCACGCGUCCCCCAUCCCCCUCCAGCGCCGCUGGCCCGCCCAGGCCCGCGGGGGACCCGCUGAAGCCCAUCGAAGCCCGCUCGGGGCCCGGAUCUCAGCCGCGCGCCGCCCGAGAGCGCUCGCUCCCCGCACCCCUCCUCCUGCCGACCCGCUCGCCGGAGCCUCGCUGCUCCCGCGCCGCAGGCCGGAGCCGCCGCCAGCGACCUUCCAGGCUGGAGCCUCGCCGCCUCCCUACUCCAUCGUCCUCUCCUCCUCCGUUUUCUCUCUCUCUCCUGCCUCAACGUCUCUCUCUGUCCCCGUCGCAGGUCCGCCAUGGCCGCCCGUGGAGUUGCUCCGACCCAGCCGUGGCCGAAUCCGGGGUCCUCACGCCCGGAUCUGCCCGUUCCCGGCCUCGCCUCGGUCGCGGGAGCUCCCCCAGCCUCGCCGGAGAUCCGCCGCCGCCAUGUCCCUGCUCGGGACGAGCAGAGGAGUUGCUCGUCCCGCUUGCACCGCGACCGCAUGGGCCAGCGGCCCCUCCGCGGCCCACCAGCCCAGCCUGCUGCAGCCUCUCCUUCCUCUCUGGGCCGAAGCCCGUGGUGAGAUACCCCAUAUUCCCCGCCCAGGCGACAUAUUGCUAUAUUGCGAAGUCCCCAGAAACUCAUAAAAUGUUGCAUACUUUGACCUGUUAUAACUUCAUGUGUGUAGCUCCGUUUUGUGCGUGUAAUAUGUCAAAUUGUUCGUCUCAAUGAGUACUUCAUUUCAUUACAUUGCAUCAUAUUCAUUUGAGCUCAUAUUGAUGCCUAAAUCAUCGUUGCAAGAGUGCUUCAUAAUGUUUUCUGCUGUCUGUUAACAGAACUUGCUCUUUUGUCAUUUUUGCCAUGAUUGAUGUGUCCAUCCUAUGAGGUUGAUGUCUACAUGUGUUUUUAUCUAUGCCAUAUCUUAUUUACAAAGGAGCUUACAAUGUAUUUUUGUGAUCAAUGUGGUGACUAGCACAAGCAUGCAAACUAGGCUUCGUAAUGUUGCUGAUUUUAGUCCCUGUUCUGCUGUUAUUUUGAUGCCAUGUAAACAUGUUGCUACGGAGAGAUCCAUGCAUAUUUUGAGAUACUUCAGUAAGGAUUUUUUGAACAUAUGGUUGUUCUCUAUCCAUUCAUGCCCCUGUUUGCAAUUAUGGAGUAGUCUAGCAUGUCAUUUGCUUGCUCUAGUUUUGCUUCAAAAUGUUUCCUGGCAGAUUGUUUACAUGUUAUUCAAUUUUGCCAAGGAUGUUGUAGUUGAUCCUUGCAUGCUAUGAACUUGUUCUUGCCUUGGUUAGCUUCAUAAACAAGUCUUCUUACUGUUGGUUGCCUUGCCAUGCCAUGUAUUGCUCUAUGGUGAGUGGUUCAAGCUCACCAACAUGCCUUCAUAAUUCUGUUUCUGCCAUGUAUGAAUCUGUAAUAUAACUUGCUAUGUUUACAUGGGUGCCAUCAUAUUUUCUGAUCCUUUUUGGGUUAUGGUCAGUAAGGGACUUUUGUUCGAUGAAAUUAGUAGUUUCAUGCCAUGCCUUUGUUUGCCAUGAUAAAUUCCUGUAACAUGUUGUUUGAUAGCUCUAAACAUUGCAACCUGAUGUUAUUUUCUGCAAAGUCUGAAUUGUUAUUAUUUGCAAUCUUGCCAUGUGUGUUUGAGCAUGUUCUAGUGAUUUCUGGAGAUAGCUCAGUGUUCAUGUUUUGUUAUGCUUUACUUGUACAUCAUGCCCAUGUCUUUUGUUUUCAUGUUGAGAUGUUGUAGCUUGUUGUUUUGAUGCUUGCAAUAUGCCUAGUUGCUGUUUUGGACAGAUUGUUGCUAUAACUUGUAUCGUUUGCAUGUGUUGAACCGUUGCUCCGUUUUGAGUGUGCUCUAUAUGAAACUUGCUUAGAAUUGCAUGUUGUUUCAUAUUAUCAUGUUGCAUCUUUGUUUUGAGGUGUUUGCUUGAUGUUUGGGUGCAUUUUGCAUCAAUGCCAUGUUUAACUUGUUUUGCUCAUAUCUUCUAGGCCGUAGCUCCGAACUAAAUGAGCCUUACAUGUAACUUGACUAGAAUCUCGUGUAGAUCAUCUUGGUGCAUCUUAACUUGCUGUUUAACAACUUGAACCUAAGGUUUGUUCAGAUCUGGUCCAAUUUCGAAAUUUGCAGAUGAGGACUUACCGGAAUUGUUAUAUGUUGUUCCCGAUCUCAUUUAAACUUGCCUUGAUGUGUUGCUCUUGUUUGCAUCAUCUCUUGCCUUGAGUAGCCUCAUGUAGCUUUGUCAUACAUCGUGCUUAUUUGUGCAUCAUGCCUUGUUCAUGUGUGGUGUGUUUACCAUGUUGUGUGCUUCUUCUCGAUAGUUCCCGUUUCGUUGCGAUCGUGAGGAUUCGUUCGUCUACACUUGGUUCGGCUUCAUCUGUUCGUCUUCUUCAUGGACUCGUUGUUCUUCCUUGUGGGAUUUCAGGCAAGAUGACCGCUACCCUGGAUCUCACUACUAUCAUUGCUAUGCUAGUUGCUUCGUUCUAUCGCUUUGCUGCGCUACCUAUCUUUUGCUCAUCAAGCCUCCCAAAUUGCCAUGAACCUCUAACCUUUGACACCCUUCCUAGCAAACCGUUGCUUGGCUAUGUUACCGCUUUGCUCAGCCCCUCUUAUAGCGUUGUUAGUUGCAGGUGAAGUUGAAGAUUGCUCCAUGGUGGACAGGAUUUUGGUUGGGAUAUCACAAUAUCUCUUAUAUUAUUAAUGCAUCUAUAUACUUGGUAAAGGGUGGAAGACUCGGCCUUAUGCCUGGUGUUCUGUUCCACUCUUGCCGCCCUAGUUUCCGUCAUACCGGUGUUAUGUUCCCGGAUUUUGCGUUCCUUACGCGGUCGGGUGAUUUAUGGGACCCCCUUGACAGUUCGCUUUGAAUAAAACUCCUCCAGCAAGGCCCAACAUUGGUUUUACCAUUUGCCUCACCACCACCUAUAUUUCCCUUGGGAGUAAUUAACCCGAGGGUCAUCUUUAUUACAGCCCCCCCAGGCCAAUGCUUGUCUAAGUGUUGGUCCAAACUAGAGCACCGUGCGGGACCAUCCCUUGGCAACUUGGGUUACGUUGGUACCUGUACGCUUCGCUUAUCCGGUGUUGCCCUGAGAACGAGAUAUGUGCAGCUCCUAUCGGGAUUGUCGGUGCAUUGGGCGGCUUUGCUGGUCUUGUUUUACCAUUGUCGAAAUGUCUUGUAAACCGGGAUUCCGAGUCUGAUCGGGUCUUCCUGGGAGAAGGUAUAUCCUUCGUUGAUCGCGAGAGCUUAUCAUGGGCUAAGUUGGGACACCCCUGCAGGGUAUAAUCUUUCGAAAGCCGUGCCUGCGGUUAUAGGCAGAUGGGAAUUUGUUAAUGUCCGGUUGUAGAUAACUUGACACUAGAUCCGAAUUAAAACGCAUCAACCGUGUGUGUAGCCGUGAUGGUCUCUUUUCGGCGGAGUCCGGGAAGUGAACACGGUUUCUGGGUUAUGUUUGACGUAAGUUGGAGUUCAGGAUCACUUCUUGAUCAUUGCUAGCUUCACGACUGUUCCGCUUGCUCUCUUCUCGCUCUUAUUUGCGUAUGUUAGCCACCAUAUAUGCUUAGUCGCUGCUGCAGCCUCACCACUUUACCCCUUCCUUUCCCUUUAAGCUUGGCUAGUCUUGAUACCCAUGGUAAUGGGAUUGCUGAGUCCUCGUGGCUCACAGAUUACUACAACAACAGUUGCAGGUACAUGUUAUGCGAUGAUCAUGACGCGAGAGCGAUGCUUGCUUGUUUGGAGUUCUUCUUAUGCUUCUUCGAUCAGGGGAUAGGUUCCAGGUCGGCAGCCUGGGCUAGCAGGGUGGAUGUCGUUUGAGUUUCUGUUUGUGCUUCAUCUGUAGUCUGAUGAUGAUCUUAUGUAUGACGAUGUUGUAUUCGUGUGGCAUUGUAUGCCUUAUGUAUUUAUCCCCGUCUAUUAUGUAAUGUCGAUGUAAUGAUAUCCACCUUGCAAAAGAGUUUCAAUAUGCGGGUCUAUCCUUGGUGGGACCUUCGAGUUCCUUUUGGAUAGGGUCGCAUAUUGGGCGUGACAAGUUGGUAUCAGAGCCUCGACCGACCUUAGGAGCCCCCUUGAUUGAUCGUGUAGUUUGGCCGUUGUUGAGUCUAGAAGAAAACUGUUUUUCGGAGUCUAGUCAUAUCGGAGAGUAGGAAUUCUUUUUACUCCUCAGCCCCUUCGUCGCUCUGGUGAGGAAUCUUGACGUAGGUGUUUUGAAUUACUUCUCUUCCCCUUCAAAUUUUUCUUUAGGAUCACGCAGUUGGUUUUCCGAUCGUUGGUUCUCAUCUCUUUUGAUCCGGUGCAUUUCUCGUCAAGUUGACUCGAGCCUCUUCAUCUUUGCCAAGUUCAAUCCUUAGUUGUUUUCUUUUCCCACCCACCCACCCCUUUUCCUUCUCGAAACCGGAGUCCGUAAUCGAGUAUCCAUUCUACUCGUGCGAAGCCUUUGCAUUCUUUCAACCGGUGUUUUCUCUUCAAGAUAUUCGUCGGUUUCCCCUUCCAAGUUGCUUUUGUUUUCCCGCCCUCCCACGCUUUUCUUCCUGGAGUUUAACUCUCUCUCGACCAUCAAUUUCUUUCGUGUGGAGCCUCUUCAGUCUUUCGUCAAUUGUUUCAACCGGUGAAUUCUCGUCUUGGUGGACAUUCUUCAUCUCUUUUCUUCUAUGGUGGUUUCAAUAAAAGUUUUUCGUUGUCGAUCAUAUUCUUUCCCUCAGCUCAAAUAUUUCCCUUUGCUCGUUCGCCUCUCGCCAGUUUAUCCUUCCGGAGCGUUCAAGACAUCUCAGGAGAUUCGUCUGUGUUCGAAUUAAUUCGAGGUUGCCACCUCAUUCAAAUAUUUCAAUUGUUUCGGUGCAUCAUCUACCUGUUCAACAAUUCUUUCCAACGGUGUUUUUCUUUUAGUGGGCCCUAACCCACAUGUCUUUUCCCAGGAUCUUACCUGACUCUUCUAAUUCCCCCGGAGUGAUUCUCAAUUCUUUUAAGUGUGACGUAAGUAUGAAUUUCAUCAGUCAGAUGCCUUUCCAAGAUCGAUUUCAAAUCAUUUCAUUGUUGGCUCAACCUCUUUGCUUUUCAUUCUCCCGGAGUAUCUCAGUAAUUUCGGUGGUGUUUCUCGUCGAUCGCAGAAGAGUUUUCCUUUAAAUCUUGUCCGUUCUCUCGAAGUUUCGUGAUUCUAGCUUCAUGUUAUCGUCUCGAUUUAUUCCAUUUGUCAGAUAUUCUUUUCACCUAUCCGGAGUAUGUCAGAAGUUCUUUUCCCGUUUCUUUUCACUGGAGGCCAUCGUUCCAGAAGAAUUCUUCGCCCUCAUCAUUCCAGCUAUCAUUCUCUAUUUAUCCCGGUGCUUCAUUCAAGUGUUCUUUAAUCAGCUCGUAUCUCUUCGUUCUUGUGCAUCUAAAUCCCCUCCAGCUUAUUUGUUCUUCUAAUUCUUCCCGGUGAUUCAUUCUCUUUCAUUAGUCAUUUUCUAAUUCUUACGGUGGUUCGUUCAAGAUUCUUUUUCCUUGAUUAUCAUUCAAUCCAUCUGUUCUUUCCAAUCAUAUCGGUGGUUCAUGAAGACCUUCUCAAGUCUGCGAUAUGUCACUUCUCAAUCCCUUUUCAAGAAGAAUAAGUAGUAUGAAAAAUCCAUUGAUUGUCAUCAAUUUAAUUUCAUGAAGGAUAAGCAUACAAUAAAUCUUAUUCUUAUUUCCUCAAAGUGAUUAAUCCUUUUCUUCGGAGUUUGUUCUUGAUGAAUAAAUUCUAGUUCCUAGUGUUUUCAUCUUUUCUUUUCCGGAGUUCAAUUUUUCAUCAGCCAUUUCAUUGGAAUCUUCACCUAAAUCAUCGCAAGCUUUAAUCUUAUUCUUUCACUCUUCAUUCUAUCUCAUCAUCCUUUUGUCACCGGAGUUCUUCAUGGUGGUUCUUCAUGAUUUAAUUCAUCCUUCAAGUGUUCAUCAAGAUCUUGUUGGUGGAGUUCAAGUAUCUUUUCUUCUCGCGUCUUGAAGCGCAAAUAAUUCUUCAUUUUCUUCUGAAGUGGAGUUUUGCAUUUCUUCGUUCUCCACAGCUAUUUAAUUUUUUCCGCUUGCGGUAGGUUAUCACCUCAUAAUUUUUGUGAUGUUACCUAUAAGUCCACAACAAGCUUAUUCUUUUCGUUGUUGAUUUUCUCAACAACUCCAUUCAAUCCUUCCUUAUAAGUUCAUUUCAUUCAAUUCUUCAAUUCUUCCGGAGGCAUUGCGUCGCUUAUGUUGUCAAGUGUCAUUCCAUCUUGUGAAGUUCAUGUUCUAUUCUUUCCUUGUUCAGCCGGAGUGCUGCCUAAAUCCUUUCAGUCUUAUUCGUUUCUUAUCUCGUUCUAACCGGAGUGCUUUCAGAGUCUAUCUUGUUUCCAUGAGCAUUUGAUUCUCGUCACUCUCGUCGUUUCUCUCUUCUUCUCGAGUGCUCUCGAUUCUUUGCCUCUUCUCUUGAGUUCUUGUUUCACCUCAUCCCUUUUCCCUUCCGUCUCGGUCCUAAGAUCUCGGGACGAGAUCUCUUGUUAGUGGAGGAGUGUUGUAACGCCCCGGUUUUGAUGCGCCAGGUGUCUGCCAGUUAUUCGCCGUCAUUGCCAUGUCAUUUGCUUGCGUGUUGCAUAUUGCCAUGUCAUCAUCUUCAUAUCAUCCGCAUGUUUUUCAAAACUUGCAUCCGUUCGGGUUCCGCCGGUUCUCUCCGUUGUCCGUUCGGAGUCCAGACACACUCGCACGCGCCCGCGGCACCUCCGAGAUAUUAUUUUAUAAGUGGCAUAAAAUGUUCUCGGAAUGGGAUGCAACUUGGCGUGUGGUCUUAUUAUAGUGUAGACAGAGCGCCUGUCAAGUUUCGUCGCAUUCGGAGCUCGUUUGAUAGCCCAACCAUCAGUCCUAGCGGCACCGUUGCCGGUUUAUUCGUCGGACGUUUUCGGUCUCCGAAAAUAGCCGCCGGGCUGCAUUCCUCCUCUUUCCUCUCAGCCCAACCCCUCUUCACAGCCCACCUGCAGCCACCUAAACCCCCCUCUGACCGGAACCGUGGGAUCGCGAUCGGAGGGUCCAGAAACGCCCCAAACCCUCAAACCCUAGCUCAUUUCUAUAUAUAGACGCCUCCCUUGCCAUUUUUGGCCUCCACCAACCUCCUCCCUCAAUUUCCGCGCAGCCAGCCACCUCCCACCUCGGUUCCACCGCUGCCAGCCGCAGCCCGCCACUUGGCACCGCCGCUGCCGCGCCCCGGACCAAUCCGGGCGCGCCACGUCACCCAGUGAGACGUUCCCCUCCACUCACGCGCCUCCAAGCGUCCCCCAUCCCCCUCCAGCGCUGCCGGCCCGCCCAGGCCCGCGGGGGACCUGCUGAAGCCCAUUGAAGCCCACCCGGGGCCUGGAUCUCAGCCGCGCGCUGCCCGGGAGCGCUCGCUCCCCGCACCCCACGCGCCUCCUCCUGCCGACCCGCUCGCCGGAGCCUCGCUGCUCCCGCGCCGCAGGCCGGAGCCGCCACCAGCGACCUUCCAGGCCGGAGCCUCGCCGCCUCCCUGCUCCGUCAUCCUCUCCUCCUCUAUUUGCUCUCUCUCUCUCUUUCUCCUGUCUCAAUGUCUCUCUCUGUCCCCGUCGCAGGUCCGCCAUGGCCGCCCGUGGAGCUGCUCCGACCCAGCCGUGGCCGGAUCCGGGGUCCUCACGCCCGAAUCUGCCCGUUCCCGGCCUCGCCUCGGUCGCCGGAGCUCCCCCAGCCUCGCUGGAGAUCCGCCGCCGCCAUGUCCCUGCUCGGGACGAGCAGAGGAGCUGCUCGUCCCACUUGCACCGCGACCGCAUGGGCCAGCGGCCCCUCCGCGGCCCACCAGCCCAGCCUGCUGCAGCCUCUCCUUCCUCUCUGGGCCGAAGCCCGUGGUGAGAUACCCCCUAUUCCCCGCCCAGGCGACAUAUUGCUAUAUUGCGCUCGAUCUGUUUUUUUCAAAAACUGCAAAGUCCCCAGAAACUCAUAAAAUGUUGCAUACUUUGACCUGCUAUAACUUCAUGUGUGUAGCUCCGUUUUGUGCGUGUAAUAUGUCAAAUUGUUCGUCUCAACGAGUACUUCAUUUCAUUCCAUUGCAUCAUAUUCAUUUGAGCUCAUAUUGAUGCCUGAAUCAUCGUUGCAAGAGUGCUUCAUAAUGUUUUCUGCUGUCUGUUAACAGAAGAUGUGUGCAUCCUAUGAGGUUGAUGUAUACAUGUGUUUUGAUCUAUGCCAUGUCUUCUUUACAGACGAGCUUAUCACGUAUUUUUGUGAUCAAUGUGGUGACUAGCACAAGCAUGCAAACUAGGCUUCGUAAUGUUGCUGAUUGUAGUCCCUGUUAUGCUGUUAUUUUGAUGCCAUGUAAACAUGUUGCUACAGAGAGUUCCAUGCAUAUUUUGAGAUACUUCAGUAAGGAUGUUUUGAACAUAUGGUUGUUCUCUAUCCAUUCAUGCCCCUGUUUGCAAUUAUGAAGUAGUCUAGCAUGUCAUUUGCUUGCUCUAGGUUUGCUUCAAAAUGUUUCCUGGCAGAUUGUUUACAUGUUAUUCAAUUUUGCCAAGGUUGUUGUAGUUGAUCCUUGCAUGCUAUGAACUUGUUCUUGCCUUGGUUAGCUUCAUAAACAUGUCUUCUUACUGUUGGUUGCCUUGCAAUGCCAUGUAUUGCUCUGUGGUGAGUGGUUCAAGCUCACCAACAUGCCUUCAUAAUUCUGUUUCUGCCAUGUAUGAAUCUAUAAUAUAACUUGCUAUGUUUACAUGGGUGCCAUCAUAUUUUCUGAUCCUUUUUGGCUUAUGGCCAGUAAGGGACUUUUGUUCUAUGCAAUUAGUAGUUUCAUGCCAUGCCUUUGUUUUCCAUGAUAAGUUCCUGUAAAAUGUUGUUUGAUAGCUCUAAACAUUGCAAUCUGAUGUUAUUUUCUACAAAGUCUGAAUUGUUAUUAUUUGCAAUCUUGCCAUGUGUGUUUGAGCAUUUUCUAGUGAUUUCUGGAGAUAGCUCAGUGUUCAUGUUUUGUUAAGCUUUACCUAUAUAUCAUGCCCAUGUCUUUUGUUUUCAUGUUGAGAUGAUGUAGCUUGUUGUUUUGAUGCUUGCAAUAUGCCUAGUUGCUGUUUUGGACAGAUUGUUGCUAUAACUUGUAUCGUGUGCAUGUGUUGAACCGUUGCUCCGUUUUGAGUGUGCUCUAUAUGAAACUUGCUUAGAAUUGCAUGUUGUUUCAUAUUAUCAUGUUGCAUCUUUGUUUUGAGGUGUUUGCUUGAUGUUUGGGUGCAUUUUGCAUCAAUGCCAUGUUUAACUUGUUUUGCUCAUAUCUUCUAGGCCGUAGCUCCGAACUAAAUGAGCCUUACAUGUAACUUGACUAGAAUCUCGUGUAGAUCAUCUUGGUGCAUCUUAACUUGCUGUUUAACAACUUGAACCUAAGGUUUGUUCAGAUCUGGUCCAAUUUCGAAAUUUGCAGAUGAGGACUUACCGGAAUUGUUAUAUGUUGUUCCCGACCUCAUUUAAACUUGACUUGAUGUGUUGCUCUUGUUUGCAUCAUCUCUUGCCAUGAGUAGCCUCAUGUAGCUUUGUCAUACAUCAUGCUUGUUUGUGCAUCAUGCCUUGUUCAUGUGUGGUGUGUUUACCAUGUUGUGUGCUUCUUCUCGAUAGUUCCCGUUUCGUUGCGAUCGUGAGGAUUCGUUCGUCUACGCUUGGUUCGGCUUCAUCCGUUCGUCUUCUUCAUGGACUCGUUCUUCUUCCUAGUAGGAUUUCAGGCAAGAUGACCGCUACCCUGGAUCUCACUACUAUCAUUGCUAUGCUAGUUGCUUCGUUCUAUCGCUUUGCUGUGCUACCUAUCUUUUGCUCAUCAAGCCUCCCAAAUUGCCAUGAACCUCUAACCUUUGACACCCUUCCUAGCAAACCGUUGCUUGGCUAUGUUACCGCUUUGCUCAGCCCCUCUUAUAGCGUUGUUAGUUGCAGGUGAAGUUGAAGAUUGCUCCAUGGUGGACAGGAUUUUGGUUGGGAUAUCACAAUAUCUCUUAUAUUAUUAAUGCAUCUAUAUACUUGGUAAAGGGUGGAAGACUCGGCCUUAUGCCUGGUGUUCUGUUCCACUCUUGCCGCCCUAGUUUCCGUCAUACCAGUGUUAUGUUCCCGGAUUUUGCGUUCCUUACGCGGUCGGGUGAUUUAUGGGACCCCCUUGACAGUUCGCUUUGAAUAAAACUCCUCCAGCAAGGCCCAACAUUGGUUUUACCAUUUGCCUCACCACCACCUAUAUUUCCCUUGGGAGUAAUUAACCCGAGUGUCAUCUUUAUUACAGCCCCCCCGGGGCCAAUGCUUGUUUAAGUGUUGGUCCAAACUAGAGCACCGUGCGGGACCAUCCAUUGGCAACUUGGGUUACGUCGGUACCUGUACGCUUCGCUUAUCCGGUGUUGCCCUAAGAACGAGAUAUGUGCAGCUCCUAUCGGGAUUGUCGGUGCAUCGGGCGGCUUUGCUGGUCUUGUUUUACCAUUGUCGAAAUGUCUUGUAAACCGGGAUUCCGAGUCUGAUCGGGUCUUCCUGGGAGAAGGUAUAUCCUUCGUUGAUCGCGAGAGCUUAUCAUGGGCUAAGUUGGGACACCCCUGCAGGGUAUAAUCUUUCGAAAGCCGUGCCUGCGGUUAUAGACAGAUGGGAAUUUGUUAAUGUCCGGUUGUAGAUAACUUGACACCAGAUCCGAAUUAAAACGCAUCAACCGUGUGUGUAGCCGUGAUGGUCUCUUUUCGGCGGAGUCCGGGAAGUGAACACGGUUUCUGGGUUAUGUUUGACGUAAGUUGGAGUUCAGGAUCGCUUCUUGAUCAUUGCUAGCUUCACGACCAUUCCGCUUGCUCUCUUCUCGCUCUUAUUUGCGUAUGUUAGUCACCAUAUAUGCUUAGUCGCUGCUGCAGCCUCACCACUUUACCCCUUCCUUUCCCUUUAAGCUUUGCUAGUGUUGAUACCCAUGGUAAUGGGAUUGCUGAGUCCUUGUGGCUCACAGAUUACUACAACAACAGUUGCAGGUACAGGUUAUGCGAUGAUCAUGACGCGAGAGCGAUGCUUGCUUGUUUGGAGUUCUUCUUCUACUUCUUCGAUCAGGGGAUAGGUUCCAGGUCGGCAACCUGGGCUAGCAGGGUGGAUGUCGUUUGAGUUUCUGUUUGUGCUUCAUCUGUAGUCGGAUGAUGAUCUUAUGUAUGACGAUGUUGUAUUCGUGUGGCACUGUAUGCCUUAUGUAUGUAUCCCCAUCUAUUAUGUAAUGUCGAUGUAAUGAUACCCACCUUGCAAAAGCGUUUCAAUAUGCGGGUCUAUCCUUGGUGGGACCUUCGAGUUCCUUUUGGAUAGGGUCGCAUAUUGGGCGUGACAGACAACGUACACGAGUCCACUAAUCACCACACAAAACACUACUAUGGAUUCAUCCCCGUCUCCCUACGAGAAGGCCAUCCAUAGCACUCACACUUGUCUUGAACAUUUUAGAGUAUCCACUUCAAGUUGUCUAUGUACCAUGUAAGCAUCCAAGAGGUCCAUAACCGCGGACCCGGCUAUUCAAAUAGAUCAUGCUAACCCUGCAGGGGUGUACUUCUUCACACACGCUCUCGCCACUUACCUCCAUGUACACGUCAUGUAACUCGGCAACCUUCAAGCGGAAGCCUGGCGAGGGUGUUGGCCAUGACCUGACUAACCACACAAGACUCCAAUCCAGGUUUAUUGCCUAUUUGGGUUCCAUCCACAAGGAGAUCCGGCCGGGGUGUCACUCACGACCCCAAACGAUGUGAGCAGGGUUCCCAAGCCCACCAUCCGGGUGCCACUUGGUACACCGUGCCACCUGUGCCUAGUCUGUCCCAAGCCCACCCUGCCGGGUGCCACUCGAUAGAAAAAUAGCACUACCUACAAACACCAGAAACUAGUUGCGACUCCUGGACAGAGAUCAAGUUGGUUAAUAAGCCGAGAGGGCUUGGAGCACCCGGAGCCCAAUGUGUGGUAGUAUCGAGUCAUUGGACAACAUACAUAGAACUCAGUGCUUAAGGAUGGUUUCAGUGAGACAACCCACCAUGUACUCCUACAUGGCCUCUCACCGCUACCUUUACCAAAUCGUGUUCACACACUUCACUCUCAGCAUCAGAACAUAUCGUAACACUCCAACUCAUUCCCAAUGAAUCAGACCUGACACAACUCUAAGCAAUAGCAGGCAUAGCAUGGUAGGAACACAACAUGGCUCAAUCAACUCCUACACAUGCUAGUGGGUUUCAACUAUUUACUGUGGCAAUGACAGGUCAUGCAGAGGAAUGGGUUCAACUACCGCAGCACAAAGUAGCAGAUGAAUCAUUGUUGUCCUAAUGCAAUAAAUGAGAGCAGGAGCGAGAGAGUAGGGUUGUAUCGUAAUGAACAAGGGGGUUUGCUUGCCUGGGAGAUCAACAAGGAAGGCACUGCUCCUCAGACAGGUACUCUGCAGCACUCUCCGGAGCAGGACCUAUCGAGAAGGAACGGUGUCGGCAAUCAAUACACAAGCAUAUGCAACAAUAUGAUGCAUGAUCAUGGCAUGUAGAUGUGAUGCUAUUUGAGCUAAUGCAACUAGCUGUUAUUUGGAUGGAGUCCAUUUGAACCAAAGAUUCAAAUGCACCUCCAAAAUAAGCCCUUUAUAAAUGCCAUUAACAUGUUUUCACCUAUACAGGAGGUUUAGGUUGGUUUGUCAUGCAUGAAACUAGUACAGAUGGAUAGAUUGCAUUUUUCUGAUAAUUUUUCAUAUAUAAAUUAUUUCAAUCUGAGCUACGGUUAAAUUUCUAUGAUUUUUUGAAGUUUAAAUCAUUUUCUGGAAUUUCCUGAUUUAAUUUAAAUCUAGAAAAUGGACAACUACGUCAGCCUGACGUCAGCGGGUCAACGGCCAGGUCCAGGUCAAACCUGACCAGUGGGACCCAUACGUCAGUGUCAUGGUUAAUUAACAGAGUUAAUUAAUUGUCAAGCUAAUCUUAAACUAAAAAUUAGCAGGGCCGGGCCCCACAUGUCAGUGUCACAGGGGGGGGGGGUUAGUUAGCGGGGUUGACCCAGUCAAUCCCGCCGGCGUUUAGCCGCCGGCGAGGCCGAUCGCGGCGGAGGGCUCAGGAUUGUCGCUCCGGCGACCAUCCGGGCGGCGGAGACCAUAUCCGAGGAGCUGGUGCUCGCGCGCAUCCAGUGGGGCAGGGGGGAGGAGCCGGGGAGGCCGGAGCUCGCCGAAGCAGAGCUCGCGGCGGCGGCCGGAGCUCGGGCUCGAUCGGCAGAGGGGCUGGAGGGCACGGGGAGGCCACCCGAGGGGCUCUGCGACACCCUCGUGACACCAGGAGCACGAUGACGCGCUCGGUUGCGGGCUGCGGUGGCCAGGGCGAGGCAGCGACAUGAACGGCGGCGAGGAGCUACGACCAUGGCGGGGAAACGACAGCUACGACGCGGGAACGGAGGAGUGGGGAGAGGGGAACGGAGCAGAAGCUCACAGCGGACUCGAUGGGCUUGUCGGCGAGCUCGGGGACGCACUGAAGACGGCGGGGCGGCGAUGGGGAUCCACGGCGGCCGGAGGCGAAGAUGGCAACGGCGACGACUCCACGGGGCGUCCGGCGACGCGUGGCUUGACAGGGAGGACAAGGACGACGGCGCGGACCUCGGGGACGUCUCAAAUGCUCUCGAGGGGCGCGGUGGCUACGGCUACGGUGAGCGGCGGCGACAGCAGCGCUCAGCUAGCGAGAGAGAGAGCGGCCGAGAGGGAGAGGGAGUGAAAGNNNNNNNNNNNNNNNNNNNNNNNNNNNNNNNNNNNNNNNNNNNNNNNNNNNNNNNNNNNNNNNNNNNNNNNNNNNNNNNNNNNNNNNNNNNNNNNNNNNNNNNNNNNNNNNNNNNNNNNNNNNNNNNNNNNNNNNNNNNNNNNNNNNNNNNNNNNNNNNNNNNNNNNNNNNNNNNNNNNGGGGGGGGGGGAAGCAGGCAGGCGACCAGGAGGUGGCCGGACGCGUGCGUGCACGCCGCGGGCACACGUCCCUGUCCUCCUGGCGCGGUGGAGACGACGACUAGCACUGGCCAGUCGGCUGGGCCGGCCUGUUGGGCCACUGGACCAGGCCAGGCCGCACAGCGCCAGGCCGCAGGUAAGCUCCCUUUUUCCCAUUUUGUUUUCUUUUCUAUUUUUCUGACAUUUGUUUUGAUUUAAUAAUAAUACUAAAUCAUUUUAUUUACUUAUACCAAUUUUUGUAGGAACUAGUGGUAUUAUUCCAAAGCUCCUCAACAAAUGGCAUAAUUUUUGGACAUAUAUUAUAUGUAUAACAAAUAUAUAUCCAAUGCAAAUAAUUAUGCAUUAAUUCCAAAUGCCCAAAAUAAAUACUUAUGAGCUCCUAAAAAUAUUGGUUUGAUUUUUAUCUCUGUCCAAUAUUUUCAGAGAGCAACAUGAACAUUUUCUUGGACCUUUUUGGAGCGAUUUUUAUCUAGGUCAUUUCCAGAUAUGAUUCUGAGGGUUUCACAAAUCCUCAUUUCAAAUUUAAAUGCAAUUUAAACAUGAUGCACACAUGACUAGCUAGCCUCGAGCAUACCAGAACUAGGGAUGUGACAACUCGCCCCCACUUGAAAGAAUCUCAUCCCGAGAUUCAGGGGUCGACGGAAAGAAAGCAGGGUACUGCAGUCGAAGACGAUCUUCUCGCUCCCAAGUAGCUUCUCUCUCGGAAUGAUGAGACCACUGAACCUUGAGAAACUUGAUGUUAUGACGUCGAGUGACACGCUCUGCUUGAUCAAGAAUGCGAACCGGGUACUCUCGGUAGGUGAGGUUAUCUUGGAGAUCAAGCGUUUCGUGGUCCACUCCGCGGAUGGGAUCCGAGAAGCAACGCCUGAGUUGGGAGACGUGGAAGACAUCAUGCACUCUGGAAAGAUGUGGGGGUAGUUCCAACUGGUAGGCAACCUCUCCUCGUUUAGCGAGAAUGCAAAAAGGACCAAUGUAACGAGGAGCCAACUUGCCCUUGAUACCGAAGCGAUGGGUACCCUUCAAAGGAGUAACCCGAAGGUAAGCUUUGUCGCCAACUUCAUAAGUCAUAUCCUUAUGAUGACGAUCAUACUGGCUCUUUUGACGAGACUGGGCUGUUUUCAAAUUCUCAUGAAUGAUGCGAACUUGCUCUUCUGCCUCCUGGAUCAUGUCCGGUCCAAAGAAUUGUCUUUCACCGGUUUCUGACCAGUUCAAAGGUGUUCGACAUCUUCAUCCAUAGAGAAUCUCAAAAGGAGCUUUCUUGAGACUGGAUUGAUAGCUAUUGUUAUAAGCAAACUCGGCAAAAGGAAGACAUUUCUCCUAAUCCAUACCGAAUGAGAUAACGCAAGCUCUAAGCAUGUCUUCGAGAAUUUGGUUGACCCUUUCCACCUGACCACUCGACUGAGGGUGGAAAGCAGUACUGAAGGAAAGAUGGGUUCCCAUGGCAGUUUGGAAACUCUCCCAGAAAUGAGAAGUGAAAAGACUACCACGGUCUGAAUUGAUCUCUAGUGGAACACCAUGAAGUGACACUAUUCGAGAAAUGUAUAAGUCAGCGAGCUGACUAGCAGUGAUACUCUCUCGAACAGGUAGGAAGUGCGCCACUUUGGAGAGACGAUCAAUGACUACGAAGAUAGCAUUAUUCCCUUUCUUGGUCCUGGGAAAGCCGGUGAUGAAGUCCAUACCAACUUUAUCCCAUUUCCACUCAGGAAUGGCUAAAGGCUGAAGAGUGCCAGCAGGUCUUUGAUGCUCUGCCUUAACGCGAUGACAAAUGUCAGAGUUGGCAAUAAACUGAGCAAUUUCUCUCUUCAUCCUAGUCCACCAGAACCUCUGGCGUAGGUCCUGAUACAUCUUAGUACUACCGGGAUGAAUCGUGAGAGGAGAUUCAUGCGCCUCCUUAAGAAUCAAUUGUCGAAGAUGUUGAUCCUUGGGAACCACUAAGCGAUUCUCAAAGAAAACAACACCUCGAUCAUCCAUAGAGGAACAUCCACCAACUCCCUUCUUAAUGUUUCUCUUGAUCCGAGAAAUUCUUCUGUCUUGCUUUUGAGCAGCGACAAUCCGAUCUUCAAGAUCAGGUUUUGCCACCAAGGUAGAAAGGAAUCCGUGAGGAGCAAUGUGAAGGUUAAGCUUACAAAAUUCCUCAUGGAGAAGUGGUUGGCCUUGCUGCAACAUGAGAUUGUUGCAAUAGGAUUUACGGCUUAAGGCAUCAGCCAUGACAUUGGCUUUGCCUGGGGUGUAGGUAAUCCCUAGAUCAUAAUCUGAGAUCAACUCCAACCAACGUCUUUGCCUAAGGUUCAAAUCUGGUUGGGUGAAGAUAUACUUGAGACUCUGGUGAUCAGUGUAGAUCUCGCAACGUUUACCAAGAAGGUAAUGUCGCCAGGUCUUGAGUGCAUAGACUACGGCUGCAAGCUCUAGAUCAUGUGUAGGAUAAUUCUCCUCAUGUGGAUGCAACUAUCGAGAUGCAUAGGCAAUCACAUGAUGAUCCUGCAUAAGAAUGCAACCUAGUCCCUGUCGUGAGGCAUCACAAUAGAUAACAAAGUCUUUAGUGAAAUCCGGUGGCACAAGUAUGGGAGCAGAAGUCAGGCGUCUUUUCAGUUCCUAAAAACUGUACUCACACUGCGGGGACCACUCAAACUUUUUAUCUUUCUUGAGAAGUUCCGUGAGGGGUUUGGCUACUUUGGAGAAGUUUUCAACAAAGCGGCGGCAAUAGCUGGCUAGACCAAGGAAACUCCUAACUUGUUUAACGGUUUCAGGUGGACUCCAAUCGAGAACGGCCUUAACUCUCGGGAUUGACAGCAAUGCCCUUACCAGAGAUUACGUGGCCUAGGUAGGUCACUUCUGGCAACCAAAAUUCGCACUUGGGGAACUUGGCAUAAAGGCGGUGCUCUCUGAGUUUUUCUAACAGAAGUCUAAGAUGUUCGGCAUGCUCUUCCUCGUUCUUCGAGUAAAUAAGGAUAUCAUCGAGGUAAACCACGACGAAUUUAUCUAAGUACUCCAUGAAGAUCGAGUCCAUCAAGCGGGAGAAUGUGGUUGGAGCAUUGGUUAGACCAAAGGACAUGACGGUGUACUCGUACUGGCCAUAGCGAGUGACAAAGGCCGUCUUAGGAAUGUCCCCAUUUCUGAUCUUGAUUUGGUGGUAGCCUAACCUCAAAUCCAUCUUGGAGAAGACUGAGGAUCCAGCGAGCUGAUCAUACAGGUCGUUGAUCCUAGGGAGCGGAUACUUGUUCUUUAUCGUGACCAAAUUAACGGGACGGUAAUCUACAACCAUCCGAUCCGUACCAUCCUUCUUUUUGACAAAGAGGACGGGGCAAGCCCAAGGAGAAGAACUAGGACGGAUGAAACCCUUUUGCAAGGACUAAUCAAGUUGUUUCUUAAGCUCGACUAGUUCUAAAGGUGCCAUUUUGUAAGGUCUCCUAGAAAUUGGAGCAGUUCCUGGGAUAAGAUCUAUGACGAACUCUACAUCUCUGUCAGGUGGAACACCUGGCAGUUCCUCUGGAAAGACAUCCGGAAAGUCACGGACUACCGGGAUAUCUUCAAGGUCUGGAAGAGGGCUAGCAUUCAGAGAAUAGAGCUGACGCUUUGCAACUCUAGUGGAGACAGUGACUAUCUUGCCAGAUGGGUGUGUAAGCUGAACAGACCUAGUGUAACAAUCAAUCUUGGCAUAAUGAGAUUUCAUCCAGUCCAUACCCAAGAUGAUGUUAAUAUCUGUAGACUUGAGGGCUAUAAGUGAUGCAAGGAAUACAAGUCUGUCAACAAGGAUUUCAUUACCAUGGGUGAUUCUGGUGGUCUGCCAUCUAGACCUUGGGGUUUGGAUUUCAAGCGGAGUUGGCAUGUCACAAAAUGACAUGUCGUGCAAACGAGCAUAGCCUUCAGAAAUGAAGGAGUGAGAUGCUCCAGUAUCGAAUAGAACAGAUGCUGGAUGACAGUUGACAAGGAGUGUACCAAGAACGACAUCUGGAUCAUCAUGAGCGUAUUUAGCUGAGACGUGAUGCACGCGUCCAUGUUCAGUGGGGGCUGACUUGACACUGAUCAUCUUGCGUGAUGGCUUACCAUGGCCAACAGACUUCUCGGGCUGGGGUGGGGCAUAACUAGUCUGAGAGCAGUCACGUGCAUAGUGUCCUGGCUUCCCGCAUGUGAAGCAAGUCCCUGAAGUUGGACGUGGACCCGCACAGACAAGCGGUCUACCAAUAGGCCUGGGUGGAACAUACGACUGAGCUGAGAGAGGCACCACAUAAGAUGGCCUCGGUGAAUAUCCGGAAGGAAGAGCGGAGUUUGGAACCCAAAUCCGGCUCUUCUGAGAACUGAAGCCGGAGGAAGAUCCCAAAUCAUGGGUGUGCUGACGGGACUCCUCGUAAGUGAGCUGAGCUGUCUCUGCAUUAAUGGCCUUGUUCACAAGAGCUUGGAAUGUAUCACAAUGAUGUAGGUGGAUAUCACGAUGCAACUUGGGGUUGAGACCCUUCUGGAACCUAGCCUGCUUCUUGGCGUCCGUGGACACCUCUUCUGUGGCAUAGCGGGCGAGGUUCUCAAACUCUCUACUGUAAGCAUCAACAGCAAUAUUACUCUGGGUGAAACUACAGAACUCUUCUCUCUUGCGAUCAAUGAGGGCCUCAGGAAUGUGAUGCUCGCGAAAAGCCUCAAUGAAAUCCCUCCAGGUAGGAAUCUGGCCAGCUGGAAGCAUAGCCUCAUAGUUCUGCCACCAAAGACUAGCAGGACCUUCCAGGUGGUAUGUGGCAUAGGUGACCUUGUCAUCUUCAGCUACGUUCGCGGAACGCAGCUUAUGAGUGAUGCUGCAGAGCCAGUCAUCUGCAUCGAGUGGCUCGAUGGAAUGAUGAAAGGUAGGUGGGUGCAAGCGGAUGAAGUCAUGAAUGGUUACAGACCCCUUGAACUGAUGUGCGGUGUUCUCCUCGAUACAUGCCAACAAGCGAUUAGACUCACGCUUGUUUCUCUCCAUCUCUAACAUGAACUCUGUCAAUGAAGGCGGGUCGGGAGGAUCCUCAUCCCUACCAUCUCCAUGGUUCUGGCUACGAGCAACAGAACUUGAUGUCAUCCUGAGAAACGAAACCAAGGACGGAAUCAGCAUCAGCUAUAGGCUAUAGAAUGUAGGACAAGGAAAUUAGUAACUCUCAAACUCCUAGGGCAAUUCUGGCAGCAUAACGGCAGUAAAAUGCUCAGAAUGAGACAUCCUGCUAAAAAUGGGGUAGAACAAUAACUCAACAUCACCACUCAAGGUUCUGGGAUAGAACUAACAGACUACACCGAAAGUACUCAAAAACUGGGUAUGACUCUGAUCAACCAAACCUAUGGGACUACGGAGUAGUAACACGUGAUCCUGAUAGACGGAAGAGAAGCCUAGUUCCUUAACCCCGUAGGAAAGAUAGGAUGACUCAAAUCAGAAGGCCAUGAGGUAAAGGAGUAAAAAGAGCCUUACAUUCCUUCCCACAAUCAAUUCCCUUAUAUAACUAAAGAAUUUCUAGACUCAACUUCGACCAGUUUGGCUUGGUAAUCCUACAGGCAGUCAGGCUCUGAUACGAAAGCUGUCAGGACCCCGAUUCCAUGCCACACCGAUCUAGCAUGUAACACCUCAUAUCACUUUGCGGCCUCACGCACGGUAUUCCCAUGGGUGUCGCCUUACCAUGCCCGGGACCGUUUGCGCCUUUUGGCACACAUAUAUGCUAGUGUCGCUAGCAUCCAUAUGACAAAGAACCCGGGCUGACAUGGCUAGUCGUGAACCCAAAGUGGCACUAACUUACAGGGACAUGCAUACAUGACCCAGCAUCGAACGUGUCGGUCAUCAGCGAGUGAAUCCGGGCUGUAGCAACUGGGCUAGCAGGACUCCGGUAAACCGGGCUGUAGCAGGCUAACAGGACUCCGGUAGACACCGCGUGACAUUUCCCCGAAGGGACAGACACAGGAUCGAAGAAGGACACAUGCCGGCCAGCCUAAGUGUUCCGGAGCAGUAGCAAGCUACCAGGGCUCAGUGGAAGCACUAGGAGACAUUUCCCGGUAAGAGAGGCUACUAACGAUAAACAACUAGAUAGUCAGACCCCACACAUAGCAAUACACAUUACACGUACGCAUAACAUGCAAGUAUGUGUUGUACAACAUGGCAUCACAGCAUAACUCAACAACGCAUGUAGAUAAAGGCUCAGAAGAGCCAUCAUAGCAUUUAUUACAAACAGGGGUCACAUGACCCAACAUUCAGAGCAAACAAGCAACAAGCGGAAGCAUUACAUGUCUGAGUACAGACAUCUACAAAUGAAAAAGGCUAAAGAGCCCGACUAUCUACAACAUCCGAUCAAGAUCGUAGCUGAGGUACAAGCUACUCAUCGAAGUCCACGAGAACACUAGUAAGACCGAAGUCUCCACUGCAAAAACAUAAAUAAAGCAACAUGAGUACAAAGGUACUCAGCAAGACUUACAUCAGAUCCUAUCAUACAUGCAUUUGUAUCAAGAGGGUGUGGGGUUUAGUUGCAGCAAGCCAGCUUUGACUCAGUGGCUAUCCUGUUCUACGACUACGAGAAACUCUUGAGGUGAGACAACGUACACGAGUCCACUAAUCACCACACAAUACACUACUAUGGAUUCAUCCCCGUCUCCCUACGAGAAGGCCAUCCAUAGCACUCACACUUGUCUUGAGCAUUUUAGAGUAUCCACUUCAAGUUGUCUAUGUACCAUGUAAGCAUCCAAGAGGUCCAUAACCGCGGACCCGACUAUUCGAAUAGAUCAUGUUAACCCUGCAGGGGUGUACUUCUUCACACACGCUCUCGCCACUUACCGCCAUGUACACGUCAUAUAACUCGGCAACCUUCAAGCGGAAGCCUGGCGAGGGUGUCGGCCACGACCUGACUAACCACACAAGACUCCAAUCCAGGUUUAUCGCCUAUUCGGGUUCCAUCCGCAAGGAGAUUCGGCCGGGGUGUCGCUCACGGCCCCAAAUGAUGUGAGCAGGGUUCCCAAGCCCACCAUCCGGGUGCCACUUGGUACACCGUGCCACCUGUGCCUAGUCUGUCCCAAGCCCACCCUGCCGGGUGCCACUCGAUAGAAAAAUAGCACUACCUACAAACACCAGAAACUAGUUGCGACUCCUGGACAGAGAUCAAGUUGAUUAAUAAGUCGAGAGGGCUUGGAGCGCCCGGAGCCCAAUGUGUGGUAGUAUCGAGUCAUUGGACAACAUACAUAGAACUCAGUGCUUAAGGAUGGUUUCAGUGAGACAACCCACCAUGUACUCCUACAUGGCCUCUCACCGCUACCUUUACCAAAUCAUGUUCACACACUUCACUCUCAGCAUCAGAACAUAUCGUAACACUCCAAUUCAUUCCCAAUGAAUCAGACCUGACACAACUCUAAGCAAUAGUAGGCAUAGCUUGGUAGGAACACAACAUAGCUCAAUCAACUCCUACACAUGCUAGUGGGUUUCAACUAUUUACUGUGGCAAUGACAGGUCAUGCAGAGGAAUGGGUUCAACUACCGCAACACAAAGUAGCAGAUGAAUCGUUGUUGUGCUAGUGCAAUAAAUGAGGGCAGGAGCGAGAGAGUAGGAUUGUAUCGGAAUGAACAAGGGGGUUUGCUUGCCUGGGAGAUCAACAAGGAAGGCACUGCUCCUCAGACAGGUACUCUAGAGCACUCUCCGGAGCAGGACCUAUCAAGAAGGAACGGUGUCGGCAAUCAAUACACAAGCAUAUGCAACAAUAUGAUGCAUGAUCAUGGCAUGUAGAUGUGAUGCUGUUUGAGCUAAUGCAACUAGCUGUUAUUUGGAUGGAGUCCAUUUGAACCAAAGAUUCAAAUGCACCUCCAAAAUAAGCCCUUUAUAAAUGCCAUUAACAUGUUUUCACCUAUACAGGAGGUUUAGGUUGGUUUGUCAUGCAUGAAACUAGUACAGAUGGAUAGAUUGCAUUUUUCUGAUAAUUUUUCAUAUAUAAAUUAUUUCAAUCUGAGCUACGGUUAAAUUUCUAUGAUUUUUUGAAGUUUAAAUCAUUUUCUGGAAUUUCCUGAUUUAAUUUAAAUCCAGAAAAUGGAUAACUGCGUCAGCCUGACGUCAGCGUGACGUCAGCAGGUCAACGGCCAGGUCCAGGUCAAACCUGACCAGUGGGACCCAUACGUCAGUGUCAUGGUUAAUUAACAGAGUUAAUUAAUUGUCAAGCUAAUCUUAAACUAAAAAUUAGCAGGGUCGGGCCCCACAUGUGAGUGUCACAGGGGGGGGUAGUUAGCGGGGUUGACCCGGUCAAUCCCGCCGGCGUUUAGCCGCCGGCGAGGCCGAUCGUGGCGGAGGGCUCGGGAUUGUCGCUCCGGCGACCAUCCGGGCGGCGGAGACCAUCUCCGAGGAGCUGGUGCUCGCGCGCAUUCAGUGGGGCAGGGGGAGGAGCCGGGGAGGCCGGAGCUCGCCGGAGCAGAGCUCACGAUGGCGGCCGGAGCUCGGGCUCGAGCGGCAGAGGGGAUGGAGGGCACGCGGAGGCCACCCGAGGGGCUCUGCGGCACCCUCGUGGCACCAGGAGCCCAAUGACGCGCUCGGUUGCGGGCUGCAGUGGCCAGGGCUACAGUGGCGACAUGAACGGUGGCGAGGAGCUACGGCCAUGGCGGGGAAACAACGGCUACGACGCGGGAACAGAGGAGCGGGGAGAGGGGAACGGAGCAGAAGCUCACAACGGACUCGACGGGCUUGUCGGCGAGCUCGGGGACGCGCUGAAGACGGCGGGGCGGCGAUGGGGAUCCACGGCGGCCGGAGGCGAAGAUGGCGACGUCGACGGCUCCACGGGGCGUCCGACGAUGCGUGGCUUGACAGGGAGGACGACGACGACGGCGCGGAGCUCGAGGACGUCUCAGAUGCUCUCGAGGGGCGCGGUGGCUACGGCUACGGCGAGCGGCGGCGACGGUAGCGCUCGGCUAGCGAGAGAGAGAGCGGCAGAGAGGGAGAGGGAGUGAAAGAAGGGGAGGGCUCGAUCCAGACGGCACCCGCGCAUCUAUCCGCGGUGUCGACGUGGCGGGGGGGAGCAGGCAGGCGACCAGGAGGUGGCCGGACGCGUGCGUGCACGCCGCGGGCACACGUCCCUGUCCUCCUGGCGCGGUGAAGACGACGACUAGCACUGGCCAGUCGGCUGGGCCGGCCUGUUGGGCCACUGGACCAGGCCAGGCCGCACAGCGCCAGGCCGCAGGUAAGCUCCCUUUUUCCCAUUUUGUUUUCUUUUCUAUUUUUCUGACAUUUGUUUUGAUUUAAUAAUAAUACUAAAUCAUUUUAUUUACUUAUACCAAUUUUUGUAGGAACUAGUGGUAUUAUUCCAGAGCUCUUCAACAAAUGGCAUAAUUUUUGGACAUAUAUUAUAUGUAUAACAAAUAUAUAUCCAAUGCAAAUAAUUAUGCAUUAAUUCCAAAUGCCCAAAAUAAAUACUUAUGAGCUCCUAAAAAUAUUGGUUUGAUUUUUAUCUCUGUCCAAUAUUUUCAGAGAGCAACACGAACAUUUUCUUGGACCUUUUUGGAGCAAUUUUUAUCUAGGUCAUUUCCAGAGAUGAUUCUGAGGGUUUCACAAAUCCUCAUUUCAAAUUUAAAUAGAAUUUAAACAUGAUGCACACAUGAUUAGCUAGCCUCGAGCAUACCAGAACUAGGGAUGUGACAUGCCGCCUUGCCUUUCCGAGCGUUUUGCCUGCCAUUGUGAGGGUGUGUCUCACUCCUGAAGCACGCCUUACCAUCACUCUGCUCCUUGCUCUUGCACCGCCAACACUCUUCCGUAGAGACGAUGUCAUCCCCAUCAGCCUUUGCCAAGGAUCCCACUGUUGUAGAUAUGUUGCCGUCGUCCUCACAAUAUCUUUCUCCGAUGGGCAAGCCGAGGGCCCACCUGAGCGGUGGAGCAGGCCCUCCGACGCGGCCGAGGAGGUGAAGGAGGCAUUGGGGGCGGCGGGAAAUUAGGAGGUGGAGGAGGAAGAUCCGUCCACCUGGCGUCCUUUGAAGAUGACGAGGCAUUGGGGGCCGUAUAGUUAAAACUUCCAAAUAUGACCUGAUGGCCAGGGGCGUAGCUUUCAAUCUGCUCCAGAUGGCCAAGCGAAUUGGCCCGCAGUGCAAAGCCGCCGAAUACGAAGAUCUGUCCGGGGAGAAAAGUCUCAUCCUGGACCGCAUCGGUGUCCAUGAUCGGAGGAGCCAUCGGGCCUAAAGAUGACGACACAGAGGAACUCUCAAUGAAAGCACCAAUUUCGGUGUCAGAACCAGCGGAUCUCGGGUAGGGGGUCCCGAACUGUGCGUCUAGGCGGAUGGUAACAGGAGACAAGGGACACGAUGUUAUUACCCAGGUUCGGGCCCUCUCGAUGGAGGUAAAACCCUACUCCUGCUUGAUUAAUAUUGAUGAUAUGGGUAGUACAAGAGUAGAUCUACCACGAGAUCAGAGAGGCAAAACCCUAGAAGCUAGCCUAUGGUAUGAUUGUUGUUCGUCCUACGGACUAAAACCCUCCGGUUUAUAUAGGCACCGAAGAGGGUUAGGGUUACACAGAGUCGGUUACAAUGGUAGGAGAUCUACAUAUCCGUAUCGCCAAGCUUGCCUUCCACGCCAAGGAAAGUCCCGUCCGGACACGGGACGAAGUCUUCAAUCUUGUAUCUUCAUAGUCCAGGAGUCCGGCCAAAGGCUAUAGUCAGGCCAUCCGGACACUCCCUAAUCCAGGACUCCCUCAGUAGCCCCUGAACCAGGCUUCAAUGACGACGAGUCCGGCGCGCAUAUUGUCUUCGGCAUUGCAAGGCGGGUUCCUCCUCCGAAUACUUCAUAGAAGAUUUUGAACACAAGGAUAGUGUCCGGCUCUGCAAAAUAAGUUCCACAUACCACCGUAGAGAGAAUAAUAUUUACACAAAUUCAAUCUGCUGAUGUAUUUCGUGGCGUGACAUCACACCACGGCCAAGCCUUUAUUUGAAUCGUUUUACUAUCCCACCUAAGCGCGUUUAGCGAGGCGGUUUCCUUGGCACGUCUUGUCAAAGCAGAGAUCGUGUCCCCUUAUUCCGGGAUUCUCAUUAAUACGGGCACGGGUAACCCAGUCGUGCCCGUUGGCGCGUCUCCUCUAUCGAAGGCGAGUCCUGAACGGUCACGGGGAAGGCUCUUGGUAUUCAACCUCUUUAUAAAGAGACCAAGGCUCCACUCCUUUCUUUCAAUCUCAAUCGAACCCGCCCCCCGCCUCGAGUUCCAACACCCAAAGCUCCAGAUUCAGGCGCUUCGGACCUUCGAUGAUGUCCGGCUCCGACCUGCAAGGCCGGUGGAUGCCUUCCUUCGUUACGGAAGAAGAUGUGCUAAAGCUAAGAGAUGCCAGGUAUCUAACCGGCGAAAUUUCGCAUAGGCUGCCUGCCCAAGGGAAGGUUAUUCCCACUCCCAAGCCUGGUGAGAACGUGGUGUUCGUGUCUCACUUUCUUCGGGGGCUAGGCUUCCCGACGGACCCCUUCGUGAGGGGGCUCAUGUUUUACUAUGGGUUGGAAUUUCAUGACUUGGAUCCGAAGUCCAUCCUCCACAUCUCAUCGUUCAUUGUCGUAUGCGAAACCUUCCUCCGCAUUACCCCUCACUUCGGAUUGUGGCUCAAGACCUUCAAAGUGGAGCCGAAGAUGAUCAAGGGGCAGCAGGCAGAGUGCGGAGGGGCUGUUAUAAGCAAGAAUGCUGAUGCUCCAUGGCCCGAGGGCACUUUUCAAGAGGAGCUCAGCCUAUGGCAACAAGAGUGGUUUUAUAUCACAGCUCCCAGGGGCACCAAAUGGGUGGUGCCACCUGCCUUUUGCUCGGGUCCUCCACCGCGGCUGGCGUCAUGGGUCAAUAAAGGACUUGACUGGGGGCCGUCCAAGGACGUGCCCUUGUUGCAGGGCCGCAUUCAAGACCUCCUAGAGAGAGAGAUCACUCUGGUCGUAGUAGCGUAGGUCAUGCUGAUUCGUCGCACCCUGCCCUACAAACGCCGCCCCCUUCGCCUGUGGGAAUUUAACCCGGAGGGACCACGAGCUCUCCAACAUUUUAUGGGCGCGACGCCCGUGGAGAUGUACAAGCUUUUCUUCGGAUCACAAGCGAUGUGUCCGGACUUGACCGAGGACGCAGGUCUGAACUGCAAUCGCCCGGAUACUCAAGUAAGUAGCCCUGUACCCGGACACGCUAUCCCAUCUUUAUCACGAAAUUGCCCUUUAAAAGAGUUGUCCCUUGAACAGGAGUGGAUAGCGAAAGCAAAGUUAAUCAGGUGUCCGCCCCCCCUCCCUGAGACCACGCCGGAUCCCGUGUUAACCAGGAUGCUGGAGGUUGCGCCUUCGGAAGAAAGUGAAGGGGGGAACAAGGAAGCUACCGCCUCCACGAAGGAGGCUGUCAGGAAAGGAGGGAUUGAGAAUCCCUCCAUCCAAGGGAAGAAGAGGACCGCCUAUGAGAACCCGGAGACCAUGGUCUCAAAGCGGGGGAAGAAAUCUUCGUCAGAGGGUCCUGUGCCGAGAGAUGCCUCGGCCGCAUUGUGCCCCCAAGGGGAUCAGCUCUCCACCGAGCCGUAAGUAAAAAAGGGGAGUUCUUUUCAAAAUAAAGGAUAUCCCUGCCCUAUUUCUGAUGAAGAUAACCGAAAUUUUACCUUGUAGUUCGGAUCUCAGCCCUUCUCAGCAGAGCUCAUCUUCGGGGGAUCUUCGUCCGGAGAUGAUAGAGAGUGAUACGCCUCCCCUUACCGUACCGUCUUCCAAGGCAGGCGACCCUGAGGUGUCGUCGCGGAGGGUUUCUUCGAGUCCGGCGGGGCCGAAAGGCAGUCGUAUGUCCCCUCAAAGCCCUUCGAGUCCGGCCUUCAAAACAGGCCAUCGGACGAGUCCGACACCACCUGGUGUACGGUCGGAGGAGCUGCAGGAUCUGCUCGGGCGAGCGUCUAUCUCAGAAGAUCACCGUGCGUUAUUGGGUACGGUGAUUGAAAGGAUUUCAUCCGCUGAGAGCGGAUUGCACGAAGCCGUCAGAAGUUUCCUGACAGGUUUUGAGGUACGCAAAAUGAAGUACCUACUGACAGUUCCGCAUAUAGGAUGCGCCCUGUGUAGAUAGUAGCCCCUGAGGCUCGGUGUGUUGUCAAAAAUGACAGCGCGCCGAGGAUCAUAAUCCCAGGUAUAAUGUGUCGCCCUUCCUAUGUAGGUGGCGAAGGGUCCGGUGGCUAGCCGGACUAAUGAAUUUGCCGAACUAAAGCGGCAACUUGACGUGGCAGAUGCCGACAUCGCGCUUGUCAAUAAGCGACUUGACGAGUCACAAGGUAUGCAAUUUCUCUGCGGACACCUGGUAAGGGAGCUUGAUGCCCGUGCCUUACAACAUGUAUGCUUGAUGCAGAUGGUGCCGCUGCCAUGGAGAACCUUCGGGCGGAGCUCGCCCGAGCCAAGGAGCAGGCCAGAAAGAGUGAUGCGGCUGCCUUAAAGGCGGCCGAAGAGCUAAAAGCCGAACAGGCUGCUCACUGCCAAAGCGAGAAGGAAAUGGCCGAGAUGGCCGUGAAGUUAAAGAAUGCUGCUGACCACUGCAAGCUUCUUGAAAAAUAAGAUCGAGCGGUGCAAGAGGACCUAAAGAAGGCCACCACCGAGGCCAAGGAUGCUUGCUCUGCGAUGAGAGCUAUGAAGGAGGAGCUGCGUCAGGCCGGAGAUAUCGCGGCUGGAAAGCCUUUUCUGCUGCGGAGGAAAUUUGUGGAUCCUAAAUAUGCUCAGUUGGACCGGCUGUGGAGUGUGGAGGAUGCUUAUCUGGACUUGGCGGCAAGUGCCGCGGACGCGGCCGAACACUUCCGAGAUCAAAAGGAUCACGAAAUGGAAAAGGUUUUUUGGUCGCAGUUCCAUAAUGCAGAGCGCCCACUUCCAUUAACCGAUCGCUUGGCCAAAUGGGCGGAGCUGAAUAGGUUAUCCGGACUUGCCAUGAAGGAUGUCGUGAGUCUUUUGUGGUCGAAAAGGCCCGAGCCGAAGAGUUAUUUUGGCUUGGUGCAGCAGUUCCUUGGUGCGGUGCCGCAUAUCAAUGCAAUGAGGAGGUCGGCAUGCAUAGAGGGUGCACGGAUGGCUCUUGCCCGUGUCAAGACAUACUGGGCAGAGAUGAAGGCCACCAAUGUUGCAUCCCAAGAUUCGGACGGAAGCCGAGUACCUGUCGAGCACUAUUUUCAGGAAGUUCUACAGGGCGCUCGUUUAAUAGAGACGCAAUGCUCGAAGGAUAUUAUGUUCGAAUAACAUGUAUGAUUGUGAAACAAUGUGUCUAUGGAAUAUAAAAGCUUUUUAUACUUGUGCCUUUCAAGAAUUAAAAUAUCUCCUGUGCGGCCGCUCAUGUAUAUGUAUAUAUAACCUGAAAGAUGGCAGUCUUCGGCUUCAGCCCCCACGCAUAUAAUGCGGGGGUGUUUGCAAAAGGCGCAUUUUUACACUUGAUCCAACGUCUUGGUCCUAUAAAGGAGGUGGUAGCGCAGCAAACUAGGCAACCAGACUAUAAUGCUUUAUCACUUUCACUUAGCCAUAGGAGUUUGACAGUGGGGCUACUAUAUAGCCCCUAGGGGCACUGCGCUCACCCGAAUUCGGGGCGCGUAUGUGCCUGACCGGGAAAUGGCCCUUCGUCAAUGCGGAGGAAUCCUAUAGAUUCCGGCGGGUCAUCGAGUGGUUGACCAGUCUCACGCUAUAUCAUGAUAGUCAGUUUUCGGCUUUCUCUACUGAGGUGCUCGCCUGGACGAACCGGGGCACAAUCGCAGUAGUUCUCCUGGUGCCGCCUUAGCCGAUAGAGCGGAACGUAAGGCAGCAAAACACAGGAGCCGGGCAAACCCAACAUUUGACCAAAGACAUGAUUCGUAGAUGAUGCAUAUAAGGCCUAACUCGAGACGCCGAACACUCCCUAAGGUAUUCGGUCUUUAUGAAAACAGGCCGAACAACACCCUUGGUAAUAAGCCCCUGGUGUCCAGGUACGCGCAAAAUUCUGACGUGGCCCAUGCCAAAACGCCAGCCUCCUCCUCAGUUAUGGGAAGAAACCAGGGGAUGUGUAUCAACAAGAGACAGUAAAAAAGGUUUAUGCAGGGUCUUAAUCUGAAAAGAAUCCUUGUCACGGGUCCGUACUGCACGUCUGCGCCUGCGUCUCCGUUGUGCCGUAUCCUGGACGGUUGUAGCACGGUGUUCAUCUGUAAAAGAGAGGAACUUAGUUGAAAAAGAUCAUGCGGAAAUGUAUGUUAUGUUAAAUAAAUAAAGUACGAUUCAAAAAUGAAUAAAAUUGAGCUUUAUUGUCCCUUGUUGUACAUGCGCGGAGCCCCUUGUACAUGGGUAUGCGGCUAGUAAGCCCUUGUAUGUUUACGCCGGGCUCGUCUAGCCGUGUCCAGGGUCUGAAAGACCUGUUUAGGUGCUUUGAUCGGUGAAGCCGGCUUAGAGUGUGGCUGUCAAGGCAGUCACACCAUCUUCCGCGCUCGAGGAACACUCGGUAUUUCCCUUUAAGGAGAUGAUGCCUCGUGGAUCGGGCAUUUCAAGUGUAAGGGAUGCAUAAUGCGGUAUUGCGUUAAAGCGGGCGAAAGCUUCGCGUCCCAGUAGUGCUUGGUAGCUACUUGUGAACGGGGCGGGGUGGAAGGUUAACUUUUCGCGGCGGAAGUUGUCGGGUGAGCCGAACACAACUUCUAGCAGUAGAGGGCCCGUACAAUGGGCAUAUGGGCCUGGCAUUACCCCUUGAAAGGAAGUGUUGCUAUGGCGAAUUUUGGUUGGGUCUAUCCCCAUUUUGCGGAUUGUGUCCUGGUAUAGAAGGUUUAGAUCACUGCCGCCGUCCAUUAGGACUUGUGUGAAUUGGAGUCCGUCAAUUAUCGGAUCUAAUAUCAGGGCAGUCCAUCCUGCAUUCCGGGUACUUCUAGAGUAAUCCUGAUGGUCGAAGGUGAAUGGUUUUAACAACCAGUGGCGGGACUCCUCCGGGAUAGGCCUUAUGGCGCGUACCUCUAUGGGCACCGCUCUAUUUUUCCCUUCUGUCACGUGAAGUGAUUUUACUGUUUUGACUUCUUGUGGGAAAUUCUUUUGUUUUCCGGUGCUCUGCUUGUGGGGUUCGUCAUCGUCCUUGCUUGGUGUGUCGAGCCCCUUGUGUUCGGCGUUGAGUUUAACGGACUGCUUGAAGACCCAACAAUCUCUGUGGGUAUGGUUUGCAGGCUUCUCGGGAGUACUGUGGAUUUGGCAUAUCUUGUCCAAGAUUUUGUUUAGGUUAGAUAGCUCGUCCCUGUUAUCCUUAAGGGGCAGUUUUUUAUGAUUCUGCUGAGAGCUUUUGAAUCCGGCGUUGACUGUCGUGCUCUUCGGGCUGUUUCCCUUGGUCCGGCGCUGGUCCUUGCUACGUCGCGGUUUCCCGUUUCCAUCCCUGACUUCGGAUGUACUUGGGUUGCUGGUACUGCAUCUUGCCAGCCAGCUAUCCUCUCCCGCGCAAAAGCGGGUCAUGAGGCUUGUUAAUGCGGCCAUUGUUCUUGGCUUUUCUUGGCCGAGGUGUCUGGCGAGCCAUUCGUCUCGGACGUUGUGUUUGAAAGCUGCUAAGGCUUCGGCGUUCGGACAAUCGACUAUUUGGUUCGUUUUAGUAAGGAAUCUGUUCCAGAAUUUUCGGGCUGACUCUCCGGGUUGUUGAGUUAUGUGACUUAAAUCGUCUGCAUCCGGAGGUCGGACAUAGGUCCCUUGAAAAUUUGCCCGAAAAGCGUCCUCGAGCUCCUCCCAACUUCCAAUGGUGUUUUCGGGGAGGCUUUUUGAGCCAAUGCCGGGCUGGCCCUUUGAGCUUGAGGGGUAAGUAUUUUAUGGUGUGGAGGUCAUCUCCUCUAGCCAUGUGUAUGUGGAGGAUGUAAUCCUCAAUCCAGACUCCAGGGUCUGUUGUUCCGUCGUAUGCCUCUAUGUUUACGGGCUUGAAUCCCGCUGGAAAUUCAUAAUCCAGAACCUCAUCGGUGAAACAUAGGGGGUGUGCGGCACCCCUAUAUUUAGGUGUAUCGUAAUAUUCGGAUACUUGAUGUGUUGCAUUGCUUACUAGAGCUUGGUUUCUUGGCCCGUAGAUAGAUCUAACUGGGCCAUCUUUUUGAUGCGAAUCCGUGUGCGGAUCGCGUGCCGGCUUGUGUGCGGCGCCAUUUGCCGCUCUAUGUUUGCCAUGGGGUCGUCUAUCCGACUGGGUGGUCUCCUUGUUCUUUGAUUGCGGGGGCUCUACGGCCUCCUCAUCAAAUUCGGGCAGUAGUCUUCGCUUCGGGUAGCUCUUUGUUCGGCGACUAUCGCUGUAUUUGUCUGCGGUGUUGAGUACUUUGCUCCAUCUGAUUCCAAGCGCAUCUUCCGCUGUUUUGAGCUGCCGCUUCUACUUUUUCAGGCUACGCACAGUGGCGACGAGCCUUUUGUGGAGGUUCUUCUGCUUCAGCGACUUGUCCGGUGUAAAAUCGUCUGGACUAUUAUCUUCACCGGGGACGGAUUGUUUAUCCAGGUUGUCCUGUUCGGACGGUUGCUCGAUGGCAUGUUCGUCAUCCACCGGUUCACCCUGCUCUAUGGCUGGGUCUGUAUGGCCGCAGUCUUUGUCGAGGCGGGAUUUUGAGCGGCGCUUACGUCGCCGUUUUGACUGCUUUUCGAGGGAAUGAUCCCUCGUGGCGUCCCAUUGUUCCUCGUCGUCGCUUCCUUUAGGUGUGUCCACCAUGUAUACAUCGUGAGAUGAGGUGGCUGUCCAGUGCCUUAUAGGUGCUGGUUCAUGCUUAUCUCCUACAUCGUCGUCCAUACCGUCGAUGUCUUCGGAGUCGAAAUCGAGCACGUCGUUUAAACUUUCGACAGUGGCUACGAAGUGGGUGGUGGGUGGGCUUUGAAUUUUUUCGUCGUCCGCAUCCCAACCUUGCUGGCCAUAGUCCGGCCAGGGCUCUCCUGAUAAAGAGAGAGACUUUAGUGAAUUCAGGAUGUCGCCAAAGGGCGAGUGCUGAAAGAUGUCUGCGGUGGUGAACUCCAUGAUCGGCGCCCAAUCGGAUUCGAUUGGCAGGGGCGCGGAAGGUUCGGAGUCCGGAGAGGAGUCCGGCACCUUGGAGUCAUGAGCUUCGCGAAGGACAGGGUUGGUGUUCGGCUCAAUCGCCAUAGAGAUAGAAGCCCCCGAGGCGGUGUCCAGCCACCCGUCCUUGAUCGGCGCAGUCGGCUCUGAGCUAAGGGUCGGAGCGGACACUUGUGCGGCCUCCAGGGCACUGUCCGGCGGCAGAGCUAGAUCAUGCCCGUCGUGACAGUGCGGCGCGCUUGGCUGUGGCUCGAACCCGUUGAAGAUCAUGUCUCCGCGGACGUCAGCCGUAUAGUUAAAACUUCCAAAUAUGACCUGAUGGCCAGGGGCGUAGCUUUCAAUCUGCUCCAGAUGGCCAAGCGAAUUGGCCCGCAGUGCAAAGCCGCCGAAUACGAAGAUCUGUCCGGGGAGAAAAGUCUCAUCCUGGACCGCAUCGGUGUCCAUGAUCGGAGGAGCCAUCGGGCCUAAAGAUGACGACACAGAGGAACUCUCAAUGAAAGUACCAAUUUCGGUGUCAGAACCAGCGGAUCUCGGGUAGGGGGUCCCGAACUGUGCGUCUAGGCGGAUGGUAACAGGAGACAAGGGACACGAUGUUUUUACCCAGGUUCAGGCCCUCUCGAUGAAGGUAAAACCCUACUCCUGCUUGAUUAACAUUGAUGAUAUGGGUAGUACAAGAGUAGAUCUACCAUGAGAUCAGAGAGGCUAAACCCUAGAAGCUAGCCUAUGGUAUGAUUGUUGUUCGUCCUACGGACUAAAACCCUCCGGUUUAUAUAGGCACCGAAGAGGGUUAGGGUUACACAGAGUCGGUUACAAUGGUAGGAGAUCUACAUAUCCGUAUCGCCAAGCUUGCCUUCCACGCCAAGGAAAGUCCCGUCCGGACACGGGACGAAGUCUUCAAUCUUGUAUCUUCAUAGUCCAGGAGUCCGUCCAAAGGCUAUAGUCCGGCCAUCCGGACACCCCCUAAUCCAGGACUCCCUCAGACGGCGUCGAAGAUAUUGAAGCUGGUGGUGGCGGGUGUGUUUUCCCUCAAUCUCCAAUGGCGGGUGCCCAAAAGAGAGGCAACCCCCGAACCUUGAGAGGGGGAGGCGGUGGUCUUUGUCCCUUUCUUUGAGAGGGGGUUCUCCCUGCCGAUCCAACCCUUUCUUCGAGGACUGCUCCAUUACUAUGGGCUGGAGCUUCACGACUUAAAUCUGAACGGGAUCAAGUGGCAAGCUUCAUCACCUACAACGAGGGCUUUCUAGGGAUUGAGGCUCAUUUCGCCUAGUGAAAGAGGCUGUAUUUGGUGAAGCCAUACAUGUGUCAGGAUGAUAUCAAGUUGGGGGAGUCGGCAUCUCAGUUUGGGUAAUGCCGGGGUUGAUGCGGCCAAGGUCUCCACCAUCUCCAACAAGGGUGGCACCAUAACUGGUUCUACUACUCCAACCCUAACCCUGCCUUACUGGUCUUCAACGCCCAAUAUGUGGUGUACAAUGAUGUCUGGGCAGCCCGACCUACUCUCAGGGUGCAGGUAGUAGCGAAGUUUUUGGGGAAACGCAUAACCGUGCUCCACGAGGCGCCCUCCUUGGGGAGACUGUGGUGGCGACGUUCAUCAGACAUCGAGUUCAGCCCAUCAAACUAAGGUGCUGCCCUAUGUGAUUGUACACAGGCUUGGGGGAUCCAACCCGGGAGGCGCCGUACGAGCUCAGGGGAAGGAGAUGCACAGACGGGCGGUCAAACCUGUGAAGUCCAAGGUCGUCGACCUGAUGGGUCAGCCUGUCCUCGGGCAUCCCAACCAGCCGGAUGAGGUAAGUGCGCUAUCCUUCGGGCUUCUAACCCUUUUCCCUUUCACGCCUCAUUUGUCCUUUUUGGUGGCUUUGCAGGAGGUGGCCUCCUUUGUCUCCUGACAUCCCCUUCUCGUGGACUAGGCAUGACGUUGGGUGGCUGCCUGCCCAAGCUCCCGCGCCAGCUGCUGGUCUGACCAAUACUUCAAGCGCUAGCGGUUUGGAUGGCAUGGAGCAGGCAUCGAACGGGUCCUCCAAUUCAAGGAAGAGGAAAACGCUCGGGAGCAUCUCCUCUGGGGUCGAUGCAGUAGGUGACACCUCCGGGAAGCAGAAGCUACCAGCAGCCACUGAGGAGGGGGAGAGCUUUCGAGGUGAUCAUUGGGAGUAAGAGGAGGAAAACCGCCCAGACGACUGUCGAGAAGGGAGGGGCCGGCUUGGCCCAUGCGAGGACGUUAAAUUUGGGAAUUCUCCAUGUCAUCGCUGUCCAGGAGGGAGUUGUUGCAGCUCCAAGUUGCCUUGGGGCAACUAUUCAUCCCCUUCUAGGGGUGUUGAUAUCACGCGGGGACUCGAGGUUGGCGCCUAUUGGCUGUGCGUCAAGUACUCCCACUCCUGCUUCAGUGAAGGUUGUGUCUCGGGAUUUGGACCCCGAGCCGAGGAUUGUGGAGGCAGAGCUGCGAGAGCAGGUUGAAGAGCGGUCGCCCGGCUCCCUGGCCUGCUGGAAGUUAUGAUGAGGAAUCUUCAUGUGGUGGGAGCUUGCAUAUCCUCCUUUUGUUCGAUGUGAGUUCUCCUUCCAGCAACCUUUCUCAAUGCCCCCCUCCAGCCUGUGCUUUGUUGGAAUAAUCUAGUUCUGGGUCCCAUGGCAGUGUUUCUGGUUUGGCUGUCAUGGCAGCCGAUUUCGCUAUGAUGACAAUGUUUUUAGUUUGUUAGCGUUUUGGCACAUUUCUGUUUAGAGUCAACGCCACGAGACCCGUUUUUGCAUGAUCCGCGGCUAGUUUGUAGGGCGUCGUGGGCAUGUGCUUGGUCGCGGGAUGGCAUGAUCCGAUCGGAGUGCGUGGGCCGCGGCAUGACUUGUGUUUGUUGAGAAAUAAAAGGAGAAACAGAAAAACAACAAUGCUUACGCUGCGCAAAUUUCUCUCUCUCUCUCAUGAGCUGAAUUUCAUCUUAGAGAGGCAACAAGUGGCAUCAGAGCCAUGUCGGGUACUUCGGCCGCUGGCGAUCGGUCACGUAUGCCCCUGCGCCUCCAUGUGGCGUCACAGGAGCAGAGCCAGAGUAGAACCUGCGGCGGCGGCGGUGGUGAAGUGUUGGUGCAGCAGGUGACCUCUGGCGGCACCCUCCCGAUGCUGACACACACCAACUAUGCAGAGUGGGCGCUGCUAAUGAAGGUUUACCUUCAAGCCCAUGGCUGGUGGGAGGCCGUGUCCAUUGGGAAUGCCUCCUACCACGACGAGCACAAUGCCAUGAUCACCAUCCCGCGAGACGUGCUGAACAUCGUUGACGAGGAGGAGAACGCCAAGGCUGUGUGGGAUGCCAUCGCCAUGCAACGCAUGGGUGCUAGCUGGGUGCGCGAGGCAAACACACAUAAGCCGCGGCAUGACUUCGGGGGCAUCUCCUUUCGUGACGGCAAGACCAUCGCCGACUUCUCGAUGCGGCUCUCUAGGAACGUCACCAACCUGCGCAUGCUCGGCGACACGCUGGAGGAGCCCAAGGUAGUAGCCAAGUUCCUUCGUGUUGUGCCAUCCCAAUCCGUGCAGGUCGCCAUUGCCAUUGAGGUACUACUCGACGUGAGCACGUUGCCUCUGGACGAAGUCACCCGGCAGCUUCGCGUGGUCGAAGACCGUCUCAAUGACACUCACGACAACAACGACGGUUAGGGUGACCGCCUGCUUCUCACGAAGAAGUGGGAGGCCUGGAAGUAGCAACCCCGAGGCAACAACAACUCUUCCUCUGGCGGGCGGAACAACCGCCUGAGGGGCAGUGCUCGUGGGGCGGUGCCCGUGGAGGUGGAUGCGAGAAUGGCCAUGACCACAAGAGCAGCAGCGAUAAAGACAAAUGCCGCUACUGUGGCAUAAAGGGCCUUUGGGCCCGUGAAUGCAGGAAAAAGAAGAGGGAGGAGGCACUCCUUGCUCGAGCCGACAAGGAGGCUGAUCCGGACUUGCUGCUGGCCGAGGUCGUGGAGAUCUCUGCCACGGCCGCGAAUUUCGCUGCCAUGGUAGCGGUUUCGCACCCUCCCAUAGCUGCAGUGGAAAAUCCUGCCAUGUCAGCGAAUUGGUUGCCACGACAACGAUUCCAAUCUCGCCAUGGCAGCGGAUAUGAGCCCCACAAGUGGACGUGCCCCGUGAUCUUUCUCAACGAAGAGAAGGCAAAUGUCGUCCCCGCCGGCGACGACGAGCCUCGGGACACGGUGUGCUACCUUGACACCGGUGUGUCAAAUCGCAUGACCGGUGAUCUCGCAGCCUUCACCGAGCUUGACAUAUGGAUCGUUGGAACCGUGCGUUUCGGUGAUAGAUCCGAGGUGUGCAUCGGUGAUAGAUCCGAGGUGUGCAUCGAGGGGCGUGGCACCAUUGCCUUCUCCAUCGAUGGUGCCACUGAAAGGUCUAUGCACGAGUAGUGGGGCUUAUGGGAGCCAAUCAAGCAGUCAUACUAUGGGAAUUACAGGUCAGCAAUGAGAAUAGCAUAGUAGACGAUGCUGCGCACCACUCUGCUGGUGCAGUGCCAGGCUAUGUAGUCACAAUCACAACAAUGUGCCCGUUGACUGCUUCGUGUGGCAAAUGCCAUCGAAUCACAUCUCGAUCACUGCCUAACCUUACGUUGUUACUCCUUGGCUGCUGCCUUGUUGUCGCUUAGCCACACUGGUCGCACACGUUGACACUGUGACCUUUGCCAUAUGUGGGUGCCUUGCCUAGUUUGUGCCACCAUUUUAUGGAGUCUUGAGUCCUGAGCGGUUCAUGCACUCUGCUGCCAUAUCACAUGUGCGUCUGUUGUUUCCCAACUCAUCAAUGUGGCUGUCAUGCAAUUGUGCUGUUUGGUCCUUGUUGCGAGCUCUAUUGCAGCAUCUUUGGGGCCAUUGUCCAUGCAUGCUUGGGCUGGAGAUUACCCCCCUGUAAAAUGAGAAAAUCUAAAAUUUAAGUCAGUCAGAACCUUCUUGGCCUCGGCUAGUUGGCAUUUUGAACCAGGUUUUACGAAUGCUGCUUCAUAAUUAUAAAAGGUAUUCUAAAUGUGCAAUUUCCGACCAAGUUUUACAAAUGCAAUGUCAUGACUAGAAUACUUAUGCAAGUAAUGGAAUCAUUGGCAUAUUCAGUACAAGCCAUUUAAAAGUAACUCUUAGCAUUUCGGGUUGGACAAAUGGCACAAAACCAAUUGCCCCGCAUUACACUAUAAAAUUGUGUAAUAGCUGUAUAUGUGGCAUUUACAUUUACUUUUCAUUGCUUAGACCUUCUACCUGUAGCUAUGUAGUAAUGCCAGAAUUAAGUUGUUUCUAUGACAUAAGUUCCUCUUUGUGCUGCAAUCUAAUGCCAGGCAAAUCCUUUUAUCGUCGUUUUUCUUUCUGGGCUCAUUCGGCUUGGAGGAAAUUUUGGAGGAUUCCUAUGGGAUUUUCUUCAUAUGUUUAGCAUUCGUUUCAUAGCAAUAGACGUACUUGAUUCCUUAGGAUUGUGUCCGUCCAUAUGGACCUGAUUCCUUAGGAUUCUUAGUAUUUGGUAAGACCUCAUUGAAAAUUCCUAAGGAUUAGAGAGCACGAUAAUCCUGACGAGUAGGAUCCAGAGGAACUCAGGCAGAAGUACUGCGUCCUUGAUUGGGUCGCACAUGUCAACUGGUUUUUCAGAGACCUAAAAGGGCGAAGCCCUGGGUAGGGCAUCUUAUUCCUUUACCUUUUCUAUUCCUCUGAUUUGAAAAUCUUGUAAAACUGAAUUAGCCCUUCAUCUGUAAACAGAUUAUUUCCAUUUCUUAAGCAAAAGACACUUCUGCAUAUUCUCAAAAGUAAGUACUGUUUGUUCGAUUUUUGAGUUCCAGCUACGUGGUACUCCCUCCGUAACUUAAUACAAGACAUUUUUUGACACCGUGACAGUGAAAAAACGUCUUAUAUUAAGUUACAGAGGGAGUAUCUUUCUGUUAUAGGAAUCAAGUAAGAUAAUAGGCUUCACAAAUGAUUUACAUGUAGUGUGCUUCAUUCCUCGUAAGAACACUUAAUUUCAGUGUUGUUCUAUAUAUUUGAAACUGCCUUUUUGUCAGCACUUUUGGUUUGUUCUGAAUGAUCUUGGCAUGUGGUUCCUGGUUGAUGUUUUUAUUUAUGGUUUCUAUUUAUACAUGCAACCAGUGGUUUCAUAGGUAUUUAUGAUGUUCCCCACUUCAUCAAGACAUUAAAAUAUGAUGUCCGUAUUGCUAUGAGCGUCCCAGAUAUCAUUACAAACGGAAAAGCUAAGAAGCUGAAAGCCUACCAGGUGAAAGAAAGCUCACUAGUUUCAGUUAUACGAGUGAAUAACUCCAGAGACUAAUAUGUAUUGCUAACAGAUCCGGCCACCUCUAGAUGCACCGGUAACUUGGUAUACGACAGUUGCUUUAGAGAAGAUGAAGAGUUAUGGGGCUAUCUAUUUAACUCCAUUUUCACAUCGCUUGGCAGAAGAUAUAAAUGAUCCAGAGAUCCAGACAUUUCGAUGCCAGGUGAAUUAUCAUGCAUUACGAUUCAAGCCAAACAUCAUGAAAACAAGCAGUGAGAUAGUGAAUAAACUCCGCUCAGAAGGCCAUUUCAUGUCGAUUCAUCUUCGGUUUGAGAUGGAUAUGCUUGCUUUUGCUGGGUAGAACAUUGACUAACCACACUGUGUGAUUACACAAUUCAGUCAUUCACAUUUAUAAUAGUCAGUUUGUUAUUCACUUGUCAUCAUAUAUGCUUUGCUAUGCAUCCAGAAAUGGAGAAGCACAUCCAUGUAUUCUUUAUUGCAGUUCAUUCUAGGCUACAGAAAAGCUAACAAGAGCAUUGUAGAGCCUUAGACAUCAUAACAUUACUCAAGUUUUCAUCAAAUUUUUGAAAUGACGUCAUUAACCAAACUAGCAAAGUGCCUGUGGCUUGCACUGGACUCAUAAUAAAUAAUGUGCUCGCAAAUCUGAAAAACAGUUAAAUAGUUUAUACCAUCUAACUUAGGCUUCAUCCUGAUUUGGGUUGUAUAACAAUCCUCUCAAGAUAAAAUAAAAACACAGCACUUCGAUUGUGGGUUAGUUUAAUAAAUACCGUUUGAUUUCUUUGUUAUACCAUUUGUGUAUGGAUUAGAUGGUAAGAAGCUAGAACCCUCUUGAUAAGGUGGCGAGUUUGACUCCGCUGCUGCCUCAAUAGUUUAUUUCUGCCUUUUUGGCAAAAAGAUCCCACAUGUGAGAGUAGAGAAGGGUGGGUGAAUCUGCCACCAACUCAAAACCUUUAGAAGUAAGAUAGGAAAUGAUAAACUCACAUCAUUGAUCUUCUGUAUCAUGGUCAUUUGUGCUCUCUUGUACUAGAACUUUGGGAUACAUUUAUAUUGCAUUUUUGUAGUUCUAAAGAUGAUCAACUUGUUUUUUACUAGAGACAAGCUAUGCUACACAGGGAUGUGGUUACCGGGAGAAAAAACCGGUUACCGCAAAUCUCGGUAUCCCAUGAGAAAUCGCCAUACCGGGUGAAAAAUCCCGAAUUUCAAAAUCAAUAAUUUUUGACUGAAUUUUGUUUGGAUCCAAAAUUCAUUAAAAAAGCCUCCGGUAACGGCCUGUAUUUUCUGGUUACCGCAGUAACCGGAAAUCUCGGUGCCCCAUGAGAUUCUUUAGCAUUUGGAGUCCAAAACCUUGAUGCUACAUCGCUGAUAACAAAGAUUUAAUAAAUGCAGUGGUUAUUUUGCAUAUCUUCAUUUUACAUUGCUGGCCAUGGAUUAUUUUCUACAUGAAAAAUGCAGGUGCAUUGAUAUAUUUACACCUCAGGAACAGAAAAUUCUGAUCAAGUACCGCAAGGAAAAUUUUGCAGAAAAAGAACUUGUCUAUAGGGAAAGACGACUCAUUGGGAAGUGCCCUUUAACUCCAGAAGAGGUAAUGAGUCUUUUUAGAUACAUUGCUCUGGAUAUUUCUGUAGUGGUACUCAAAUAUUCAACUAUGUUCUGAAAUUAGGAGUUACUCCCUCCAUUCCAAAAUUAGUGUUGUGCUUUUAGUUCAAAUUUGAACUAAAACCGCGACACUUAUUUUGGACCGGAGGGAGUACUUGUAAAAUGGAAUACCAAAUUGAAGGCCAACUGAGUAAAUUUUAUCCUUCAUGGCAUAACAAUUGUUCUAGACCAGAAGUCUAUCCAGAACUAUGAGUAAAUUUAGUAAUUUCGAUACUACCCGACUAGUAUAUCCAAAGCUACAACCAAAUAUUAUUGCUAUUUAGUGCACAUACCUUACCUGCCAGAGUGCCACUUUCUGGCUACAACCAAAUAUUGCAGUUUGUUUACUUUGCUAAUUAUUAUUUUGAACGUUGAAUGUUCCUUUUUAAAAGUCCACUUCAGCUUUCAGCCCUCAACUACAUUCUGAGUUGGAAACUUGAACUGUAUAAAUUGUCCUCUGUACAACCUUAGGUGGUUUUAUGAUUAGUUUUUGUUUUGUUUUGAAAAGGUGUAUUACUUAGGAAGAAAUAAUUUUGUAUACAAUCGUACAACACCGCCGUGGACACGCAGGUUGGGACAGAGCCUUGCAGAACACCCCCACACCACACACUACACCCAUAUUGAGCAAGCUCAUGGGCAGUCCUGUUAUAGACAGGAGGAAUUGUUGGAAUUGUGUCGAAUACUUGUACAAGGCAGGUUACAGUUAGACUUGGAUUCAAGCUCUGCGUAGAUAGGGUACAAAGACAUGUUCGAGUAGGACACUUGUAUCCUAGGCCUCUUAUAUAGUGUCGGGGUAGACACAUAUAUAAUCCAUGCCAACAUAAUAGCACAGGCAUGCAGGGGGAGCCGGCGGCAUUUGACGGCGCCCGGGUGGCCGGUGAGUGGUCUUGUAGCAGUGGGAGGAGUGCUCAUAGUCAGGCCCUAGGGAUGUAGCCGAUGUUCGGUGAGCCUCAUUAAAAAAUCGGUCGUGCCUCGUGAGAUUGCUUGGUCCUCCAUAGAUCGACUACACGCCUUUGAUUAUUCUAACAAGUGGUAUCACGGAUUGUUGAUCCAGAGGAAGAGUGCCAAUUUCGUAUGAUUCACGUGGCAGCAGGAGUGAAGAUCAGAUCGGGUUCAGAGGCGAUGAGUUUGAGACUGCACGCGAUGUGGCUAUCAAGGUAUGGGCACGAUGAAGCAAUUGGAAUGCGAAGACGUGCAGCAGCAGAGGCCCUCAUCGUGGGUGAUCUCGGCGAGAUUGAUUCGAUUGGCAAAACUUAGUGGUGGCUGCGGACGAUUUUACGUGGCAUGUGGUAGGGGCACGUGCACGUGCGCAUGCAACUACUGGAGGCUCGAGUGAGGCGGGUUGGCCUCAAGAGGGGCUGGCUAGUGCGCUGUGGGAUGGCGGAAGCAGCUGUUGACGGAAACCUAGGUAGAGAGCUGCUAUGAAGGUCAAAACCUAGGUGGGGAGUGGUGCUGCCACGGCAAGCUGCCCAGUAUGAGAUUUGGUUAAGAAAUAAAAAUCGAUUCUGGAAGGUGUUGCAGCGCGUUGGAACAUGGGAUUCGCUGACUGCUAGCAUGGUUAUCUCGAGAGUGGAAAAAAAGAGAACAAGAAAAUUAGUCAGGAAGUCACGGGGUGCUACAGGUGUGGAGCUGAUAUAGUAAUGGAAUUGCUUGGACUACUUCUGUUUUUUGCUUCGUACGCCAAGGAGAUGGCGGCAUGGCAGCAGUGGUGUUGUUCGGCUAGCAGUCAAAUGGGAACCGAGGAUGGCGAAUCAUCUAACAUAUAAAGGCUCCUAGGGUACCUGCCAUUCUAGCGCCCUUCAUGUCUCAGAUUCAUCCUGCCCGCUCGGUUUGUCUAGCUGGCUGUUUUUCAUCGCGCUGGUAAAAAUCCGAACGCUCAUUAUUUUGCACGCUCGUUAUUCUGCCUAGAGCAGCUGACGCAUGGGCCAACUUUCCGUGCGGGCCAGCCUCGCAGCGACACAGCAGGGGUGAAGCAGGGAUGAAUCGAUCGUGGGCUGGGGCGAAUAGAUCAUGGGUACAGGCGGGUGGGUGGAUCGGCGCUCGUCUACCCUCACCCUCCUUCCAUGCACCCAGCCAGGUCUCUUCCGCUUCAGAAGUGUUGGGCCCACUUGUUAGCCUCUUUGGGUAGGUGUGGAGCCAGGUGAAAGGUUGCGGGGUGGCUCGGUCCGCGAUUGGUGGUGUGGACGCCGGGUGGGACGCGAGUAGUAAAACCUAGCCCAAUCCACUCACUUCCUCGAGCCCCACGCAACUCCACUUUCUCUUAAUUUCUCUCCUUCUCCUCCUCCUCGAUUUCCAGCGCGUGGCCGCCGCCGCUCAUCCUUCUCCUCUUCUCUCCCGUGCCACCAGGUCGCUGCUCCUCCACAACACUGGCCGCUCCACCUCGCCUUCCUUCUCUUUGUUGUCCGAUGGCCAUCGGCGGCGCCUGGAUCUGGAUCGGGUGCAGGUUAGGUGAGGCCAUUGGUUGCGUGAAUCCGGGCGGAUCCGGUCACUAGGCGGCGUGAGGCUGCGGAUCCGACGAGGUCACGGCGGCGGCCGGUGGCUUUUUGUUGUGCUCUGCGAGAGACAACGGGAGGAGAAGGAACAAAGAGGAGGGAGGGAUGCGGCAGGGCGACAGUUGCUUUGGUCAUUGUUGUUAGCUGUGGGGAGGCAUGCUGAACCUGCCGGCUCGACCAGGAGCUGCAGGUGCAGAGGCGCGUGCGAGGAGCGUCGUCGGUCGCCCGUCCUUCUUUCUUCGUCAGGAAGGGCGCAGCCUGCUACUCAAGCCCCUCUCCUCCUCUCCUUGCAGAGGAACGACCUUCUCCUUCCCCAUUUAUCUUGCACUGCUGUGCUCUUGCCAAAGCAGCUCCUAACCAAGCAUUCGCUACUCCUCAACUCUCAGCAGGAAAGGCACGGGCGCCACCACACUGGAGAGAUGGACGAGGACAUGAAGCUUUCGUGGAGACGACAAUGUGGACGCCGCUGCACCCCCACGCCAUGGACACGAAGAUUCCCAUCCUCUCUGCCCUCGAUAACCACUUCAGCGGUGCCAUGAACGGCAGCAACCGCCUCUUCUCGGCACACGCAGACCACAUGGCCGUCUUCCUCUCUGGCCUCUUCCACACCAACAGGUUCAGACCCUAUCCCUCUCCCUCUGCAUCUUUGUUUAAAUAUGGUAAGCAUUUCUUCAGAGUAUAACUCUGUUGACUUAGGUUCCUUCUGUAUUGGCCUGUGCAAAAUAGGGUGAAUGAAAUCAGAGUAUUGACCUGUAUUGCAUUUGUAGCUCAGGUCAACUAGGAGAUGAUGCAAGCCAAGGCGUUCACACUGAUUUAAUAUGGUACGUGCUGAACUUCCUUUGGUUUAUGAGACGAAAAGGAUGUUAUAUAUGCAUGCUACUACAGUUUAGGCAUUGAUGUUAUUUGAGCAUCUUUGGUCCUGAUGCCAUAUUUAUUGCAGUUACGAAAUUAUUAACAUUGUUUUUCAUUUUUUAUUUGUUGAUCUAAUUUAUUGAGACCAAAAUGAGAAACCAUCAUUUUAUUUUCAUUUCACGUUUGGAUGAUCAAGUGAAGACAAAUGAAUACACUGAUGGAAGGCCAUGUCAAAGAACUUUCUAUUUUGUAUUUUGUUUUUAUUCAGGAUCUACUAUAAUUUACCAGCAAGUGUUUAUUCCUGAAAUUGAUCGUAUGUGAUAUCUGAAAUGAAACAACACAAGGCCUUGUCUCUCUUUGUAUUUUGAGGUAAUGUCGACGAACCUCAUGUGAAAAAAAUAUAAUAAAAGGCAUUUCUCAGUUUUCUACAUGUGCCAUAGUACCGAGGUCUUUGAACAGGCACUUUGUGGUGGAAUGUCAAACAGAGGGCUGUUUGAUAGAAUAUGUGUUGUGUCAGAUACUGCAACAGGCAUACACAAAAUCACUUUGCUAUAUAUUUACAUAUACUACCUUUUUCUGGAUAUACUAUAACUAUUUGUUCUCUUUUGUAGUUUGCUCUAUGUUUGGUCAUAUUGUUCCUGGCGGUCCUGGAAGUAUCUUCAAGUUUUAAUAGAGGCAAUCCAUGGUCCUGAGAUCGACAAAGUUUGUGGUAAUGUUUCUUUUAGCUAUUACACUUGAGAAAAAUGUUUGGUGUUUUCAUGGAUCAUGACAAAACUGGUGUGCGCACAGGCAUCCUUCUUCCUUAUGUAUUGCGUCUAAUUGCCUCUGGUCAUAAAUAGCAAGACACUGAUGGAGGAGCCAUCCAGCUCAUGCUGCGAUUGUUCCAGCUUUCCGUACUAAGAAAUCACUGACUGCCAGGAAACGGAAGUGGACUGUGUGCCAGAGGUAUGAUCUAGCAAUUUCUCAUGUGGUUUCCUCUUUGCAGUGUGCUACUUCUUGUUUUCCGAUGUUGUGCACGUUCCAGUUUAGAGCUCAUGUACAUCCACUCUUUAUUUCUUAAUUAAGUUAGUGAUGCACACUCUACAAAUGAGAUCCUCUUCUGUUAUGAAGAAUUGUUAUGGGUCUCCGCUUCUUCAAGAGGCUAAUUGUUUUGAUAUAUCCAUAUGUAAUUACAUUUUGGAUUGUCAAAGUGCAAUGUGUAAAGUAUAGAAGGACCAUCUACAAACAUUAAAAAAUUGCAAUGUUUUGAUCUUGAGAAGAGCAUGCCAGCACUUGCUUGUUUCCCUUCCUGUCCAGGUUGGUUGACGUCUGGCCAGCAAGGUUAGGUGUGGUAUAACUGUUGUGCUUGAUUACUUCUUGCUGCAUGUUCCAUUAGCUUGUGAAAAAAGUGUCCUUGUUUGCUUAUGUUUGUGCUGGUGAUUUUGCUUCUGUUUGCUGCUUGGGAAAACAUGUGUGUCCCCUGUUUUUCAUCCACUGCAACAUGUGCGUGUAAUAAGUACCAGCUGCAGCUCAUUAUGAAUAUAGUGCCUGCAGCCGUGCUUCAUAAGCGGAUUAGGUGGCGGUUACUGUCUAUUUACAGAGGACGGUUUGGUGGGUAGAGGUUUAGGAAGGCCUACUGGAACUAAUUAUUUCUUAUCGCUUACCCCUUGUUCUAGAUGGAAGUUGUUAUUUGAAUGUGCCAUGUGUGGUUAAACUGAGCUGACUCCGAAUGUGCUUCAUGCAAUUAAAUUGAUCAGAGCAGUUUAUCUUUGCUUGUCAACUCUAUAUUAGUUGACAGACGAUCGCCGAGGCUCUCUGUCGCAGCUGUGUGCCUGAUCAACGAGCCAAAUAUUUCGGUGAGCUCCUCAUCUACUUUGUCGCCUAUUGUAGGAUUUCAGCAUUCUCAAUCUUUGCUUGCCCUGUUGGGCUUCCACAUAUGCUAACUAAGUAUGAGAAUACAAAAUGUAGCGAUCCUUUCGUACAUUUUCAUUUUUCUUUCUGAAAGGUAUUUUUGAGGGAAAGUGUUUGAACGUUUUAUCUCUACUCUAUUUUGUAUCCUUAUUUUUCUUUGUUUUUACCCCGAGUUAAUUGUGCAUUGAUCUUCAGUUUAUUUCUCAAUUUUUCCAUGAGCUACCCUAAAAAAAAACCUGGAUGCCAACGGUGGCUUUUCUUCAUUUGAAUUUGAAUCCAUUGAUAGAUGCUCCAAUUUAAAUAAGAAAGAAUAACAUGAUAGUUGAGAAGUGGCUACUAGCAUGAUGGUUGCUUUGCUGUUUUGCGGGUGUGGGCUGAGGUUGGGAUAUCCUUACCGAUCUUGUUGUCAUUCUUAUUCUUACUGCUCAGUUUAUAAACAUCAUGGUUCCCGUGUGUAUAUGUUGCAGAUGGGGUUUGUGUCUACUGUGGUUGGGAUGUAACAGAUUGACUAGGUUUUUCCGAGUUGCUGAUUAGGGUUAGCCAAUCUACUGCAUAAGAAUUUGUUGGGCUCUUCUAUUCACUUGGUUGCUUCUCCUACAGAGUCUGCUUGCUCUCGUGUCUGAAGAGAAGAUAUCAGUGAUGGUGGACCUGCUGAUGGUGGACCAAUGCGGUGAGACGUACCUGUUCCAUAUAACCAUGUGAAAGUAGUAAAUCCUUUCACCUUGAUGAGGCACUGUAAUCAACGGCCUAGCGCAAGCAUGCCAUAGCUCCUUGUAUAAUGUGUCGCUAGAAAUCCCUGCACAAAAGAUUCAUUAUGUGAACUAGGCAUAAAAUUCAAGGGCCUUUCACCUUAAUAUAUAAUGGCAGAUUCUAACAGUUGGUCAUGAGUUAAUUUAAAUAGUAUUACUAUCUAAACUGGGACUUCAUGCAGGGAUGAGGGAUCCACCACUUGCCUGACGUCGUAGCACCAAUUUACAAUAUAACCAUAAGGUUUUAUUUCUCGAAAUAUAAGAGCCGCAUGACUGCACCACCCUGUUUCAUUUCAUCAAUGAAACAAGAGUUUUACAGCAGGUAAGUGGCCAGGAUGAUCAUAACCAUGAGAAGUUGAAGAUAAAACACACUGAUCAUUCAACACCAAAUUUGAGAAUUUGAGGUGAGGUCACUAAAUUGAGCAUUUGUUUCCCCAAUGGACAGGUCAGAAUUCACCAAUAUCCCAAAGGAAAGGAAACGAUAAUGUAUCAGCCAAACUAUCCAAAUUAGAAAUUCUCUCUUUUUGUUCAUCAACCUAGACAACAAUAUUACUAAAACUUACUUUUUUGCUAGAAAACAAUGUCGGGCACCUCGAAUUAUAUCCAAGUCCUCGUCUCUACUUCCUUAGCAUCCACCCAGGAACUCAUUACUCUCUAGAGAAGCUCAAUUCAGGCAGAAUAAGCCGAGGAAACGCACGACAACCCCAAACAAAGCGAAGCAAAGAACCGAACCUGUGGCACCUGAGGCGCCGGAAUUCGCCAUCUUCGCCGCCCAAUCCAACGACACCCGACCAGAAUUGAGGAGCGUGAGCCAAUAUGCUCCCCCCAUGCGCACCUCCACGAGUCUUGCCCCACUCCGCGGCCAUGGCAAUGGCCAGCGCGGGGCUCGCGUGAGACUACAGCGGCGAGCACGAGGCCAUGGAGGGGAUCGAGCAGCGCGUCACGGCGGUGCAGGUGGCUCACAGGUCGACCGUGGGCAGUGAGUGUCGCAAAGCUGGUUGCGGCAGUGCGCCGCCAGGCAGAGCUCGCACCGCGACGGCGGCUCGUGUGGGUGCAUAGUAGCUGUGAGCGGAGACCUGCGGUGUGGCUGCCGCAUGCCAGAGUGGGGCGCAGUGCAGGGACACACACCAGCAAUCCUCCACGACGUGCCGAGCUGCGAUUUCUCCUCCUGCCACCUGUGUAGCUUUGGACGGCGAGCUGGGGACGUUUCUGUGUAUAGGAGAGAGGCAGAGAGCGUGACGUGUCGGGAUAACCUUAUCUCUUUGGCCAUUUUACAUUUUAGCACUUAUAGUUUCCCUUAUUCAUUGCAUGUAUGGCCAACUAACGUUAGUUUUCAGUCACACUUCCAAAUAUCUAUUUCCUUGUGCUCUAAUCGGUGUCUAAAUAUUCUUACGUGUAUGGUUUGAAUGCUUGGUUUACUCUCACUCUUUGCCCAUCAUGGUUCCUGAAGUUGCUCGUGGAGGAGGACGACCAUGGCAGCGUCGCAAUGGCGGCUAACGGAGCAGAGGAAGGCGGCCUCAGUCCAAAAGUUUGAUGCAUGCUCGGUGUCUAGGAAUCGCAUCAGAACGAUGGUCAGAGCUGAACAUAGUUGGUGAAACUAGCUAGGAUCAAGAACUCACUAGAAAAAUGAGGCGAUUCACGGCGGCGUCCAGCAGGCCUGCAUGUUGAACCCUGGGACGUGGAUAUCGAGUCGGACCAAGGGCUGGUGGGUCCCACCCGUUCCUACGAGUGGAGUUGCAGCGGGGAUACACAAGCUCGUUGGAUCCACUCGCUGCCGCUUCAUAUUCAGCUCUUCAUGGGCCGCGACUGCCGCUAUUCGUGGGCCGGGCUAAAUAACAUAUAGACCAUUGAACUACUUAUCUCCAUAUACGCAGAACAGAAAGGUGUUUCUUUCUUUUUUUCCCUUUUGUUACUCACAAGAAAAAGUGUUUCUUUUCCUUUACGUAAAAAAAACAAACAUUUGCAAGGCACGGUUCUGCUUUUCCAUUUGCUAUUACAUUUACUUCAAUUCCUCUUACGGAAACCAGUAUUCAUUUAUUCAAAGAGCAUCGUUAUUUUAUAUUUGUGAGAUAACUAAAAAGGUUAUUUAACUUUCUGCGAGACAUUGGCAAUCCUACAUGACUUAGUGCAUCAUUUCCAACCUAAUGUACUUACUACAUAUAAUAUAUGAGCUAUUCUUUUCGAACAACAAUAUGUUAACACACACUCUUACACCGAUUGGCUUACACUCGGUCUUUGCGCCAUUGGCGCAACGAGUCAUCUAGUGUGUACAAGGCUCAGAGGAGUCUGGAGCGCAUUGUGGCAGGAAUGCAGGAUCAUGCACAGUGGCGGAGCUUCAGCCACUUCUCCGGGCGGGCCAAAACAUGUCUUGUUAGGCAAUACCAUUGAAAUUUCGCUUUCAGGGCCCAGAUACAGUACCAGUCUUCAUUGAAUUCCUGCUGGGCUGGGUGGGCCAUGGCCUGGUUUGGCCCAGCCGCAGCUCUGCCCCUGAUCAUGCAUACACAGAGGGCUUGUGCGGCUUCCAGGAGACUUGACCGGGAGCAUGGUUGACAUGACGUAGGGUGGAGCAUGGUUGCAAUCGGAUAAGUUCGGCUGGGUUGGAUUAUACAGUCUGAUGGAUCGAUGUGAGUCGGUCAGUAUAGAAAACGAUGGUGAUUUCAGCCACGAUGACAUAUGAGCGUGAUGCUGAUAGUGACCGACUUAUGGGGUGUGGAAACACGUGGUGCGGACCUGAGGGCUUGUGCUGCUUCGACAAGACUAUGUCUAUGGCACAGGAUUGAAGACAGCGUACGGAUGUGAACUUAAAGUCGACGGGGCGCGGGGUAGCACGACCAGCUACAUGGAGUCAUGCUGAAGGUGGAGCUGGAGUGAUCAAAGACUUCAUUUGGUGAUGAUGGAGGGGCUACGUUGUAAGGAUAUCGAGAAUCGAAGCCUAUUUUAGCGGGUAAAGCGAGAUACGUGGUUCGGACUAGGGCCCAGUGGUCUGAUGGAAAUGUGGUACUCAAAAUUUGUUGGUGAUCAUCGGUGGUUCUCUGUAGUGGUGGUUGAGGUGGUGUAGGCUAGCUACCGAGGAGACAUGGUAUAAUAUCAAAUCAAAUGUACAUGGAGGUUCGACGCAUGGAAGAAUCAAAGAUGGUGGAGAAUAUUUGCUAAAAUGGAUUUUGCUGGAAUUGUGCCAAAUACUUGUACAAGGUAGGUUCGGUUGGACUUGGAUUCAAACCGUGUGUAGAUAAGGUACGGAGACAUGUUCGAGUAGGACACUUGUAUUCUAGGCCUCUUAUAUAAUGUGGGGAUAGACACACGAUGUAAUGUAUGCCACAACAUAAUAGCACAGGCGCGCAGGAGAGCCGGCGCCUGGGUGGCCAGUGUGCGGUAUUAUAGCGGUAUCAUGGGGAGGAGCGCUCAUAGUCAGGCCCUGCGAAUGUAGCCGAUGUUUAGUGAACCUCGUUAACAAAUCUCGGAUUGUGUCUUGUGUGAUUGCUUGGGUCCUUGAUAGAUCAAGUACGCGCCUCAGAUUAUUCUAAGAGGAACCAACGCCAUACUUUCCGCAGUAAAACGACGUUGUUGAACGUGGAACCAAAAAAUGGUCGGGAUGGCAUGCAACAUUAUGAAGGCGAACGGCAUGCCGGACUACUAGAGGAAGACAAUGACCACCAUGUACUUCUUCAACCAUGCGCACACUCGGAGCAUCGAGGCGAUAACCCCCUACGAGGCCUGGCACGACAAGAAGCCUGAGGUCGAACACCUGUGCAUCUUUGGCUGCGUCGCGCACGUCAAGACGGUGCGGCAAAUCUCAAGAAGCUGUAUAACCGAAGAAUCCCAUGGUGUUCAUUGGGUACGAGCCGGGCUCAAAAGCUUAUCGGGUGUACGACCCCACCAGCCGUUGUCUACACGUCUUUUGUGGCGUGGUUUUCAAUGAGGAUGUGAGCUGGAGCUGGGGUUAGGAGGCAGACCACCUUGGUGGCACCUUUACCGUCGACCUCAUCGUGCAUGUAGGGGCGAGGACAACGUCAGGCAGAAACGCGGCCAUGGCAGCACCAGGACCAUCUGCAGCAGUGGGCAAAAACCCUGCAAUGGCAGCCACCCCAGCGGUGCUUCCUCAACACCCAGGAACGCUGCCAUGGCAGCCAGCACCCUAGAGCCUGCCGGCACGCAGGAAGUUGAGUUCGCGCCACUUUAUGGCGUGACGAUGCUCAAUGAUGCUAGCGACCCCGACGCCGUGCAUUGGUGUCACCGCGUCACCGAUCUGCUUGAUCAGGGUGGGACUAACCCAGGAGGGGCGGAGCGCCGCCUUUUGAUGUCGGAGGGCGAGCUGGCGAAUUUCCCUACGCGGAGCCCUAUGCUGCUUGGCCGGCCACGGUGAUCGACGAGAUGGCGCCCAUUGAAUCUAACGGGACUUGGUCCCUCUCUAAUCUUCCCGCAGGUCACCAACCCAUUGGUCUGAAAUGGGUGUUGAAGGAGAAAAAGAACACAGUCGGCGAGAUGAUCAAGCACAAGGCUCGGCUUGUCGCAAAGGGCUACGUGCAGCGCACCGACAUCGACUUCAAGGUGUUUGCACCAGUAGCUCACCUCGACUAUGUGCGCGUGCGGCUCGCUGUCGCCUGGGAUGUGCAACACCAUGACGUCAAGUCGCGUUCCUCAAGAGCGACCUUGAUGAGGUGUGCGUGGUGCAGCCUCCUGGAUUCGUGUGCGAUGGUGCCGAGAGCAAGGUGCUCAGCCUGCACAAAGCCCUCUAUAGUCUUUGUCAGCCACCACACGCCUGGAACGUGGAGCUUGAUAGCAGCCUCGCUGCGUUCGGCUUUGACAAGUGCCCAUCAGAGCACCGGGCGGCGGUGAAACAACCGAUGCGCUACAUUACCGACACACGUUAGUUCAAGUGCCGCUAUUCAUGGCAGCAGCAUGACACAAGGCUCGGCAGUUACAACGACUCCGAUCUGGCGGGCGACAUCGACAAUCGAAGAGCACAAGCGGCACCAUCUUCUUCCUCGGAAGGUGCCCCGUGUCCUUGAAAUUGGCAAAUCACAAAAUAGUGGUGCUCUCGUCUUGCUAGGUGGAGAGGCGGAGUACGUUGCCAUGGCGGGUGUGCCAUGCUAGGGUAUCUGAUAGGUGAGCUGCUUGGACGCCAGGAUGGUGCCGUCGAGCUCUGCAUCGACAACAAGUCAGCCAUUGCGCUGACCAAGAAUAAUGUCUUCCACGACAGGAGCAAACAUAUCGAGCUCCGCUACCAUUUCCUUCUCCAGUGCGUCGAUGACAGGCAACAUUCACAUUCAGUAUGUGCACACUGGUGAUCAGCUCGCCGACAUUCUGAUGAAGGCUCUCAGACGUGCCCAUUUUCGGAUCUGUGCGACCACAUCGGCAUUGUCAGAGUGCUGAAUAAGUAGAUUAGGGGGAGUUUGUUGGCUAAUCUUGUUAUUUCUUUAGCUUGUUAGUUUUAGCUGUAGCUAGUUUUCAGCUAAAUUAGUCUUUGCACGAAACCGAUUGCCUGGGAUGUGGGAUGGCACGGCUCGUGUAGGGCAUCGCGUGCACAGUCCACGAUCGUUUUUAGUUGAAUAAAAGCAGAAGAACAAUGGCAGAAAAGCUGCAAGUUCACAGCACACAACUCUCUCUCGCUCGCUGUGUUCAUUGCCACUAUCGGCUACAUGUAUAAGGUCUUUAACUCACAGUCUGGAUCGGCCCCUCAGACUAGAGACCUUUAGGUUCCUUCUCCGAAUCCAGUUAUCUCACCAUAUACGGAUCUUCUCUCCUGUGUGCACAUGCUAAAUGACACCUUGCUUUAGCAGCUCCAAAUCAUGAACAAUCCCUUGCCAACAAGUCGAAGCAUUCUGACUAGAAGAAGGAUCAACAAGAUCGCCUGAAGGGUAACAGUUCUCUUUGAGUAGCUGAGCACUCAAACUUUCAGGGUAUGCAAUAAGGCAUCAGGCUUGUCUCACACGAAGUGCUUGAUUAAACAGUCUCAGGUCCCUAAAGCCCAUGCCACCUUCAAGCUUUGGUCAAACAAUUUUGUCCCAAGCCAUCCAAUGUACAUUCCUUUUAUCUGUCUCCUCAACUGUAAGGAGCUAGCUGUAGUCUUGCUCGUAAUCUCUCUCUGGGGAAGGUUUGAUAUAGAGUAGCAAAUUACAACCAGAGGUUACAGGCGAAUUGGGGAAGAACAGGGAAGAACUGGAGGUAGGGGAAAGAGAGGAAGGUAGCCGCCGCCGAGCCGUUCGUGAUCCACUGGAUGGCCUCCUUCAUCGCCUCCUCUUGCGUAUUUGUAGUCUGGUGUUUCUCAAGCGGGCCAGGCCCAUAAGCUGGACGGGGCAAGCCCAUAUAGGCAAGGAGGGAUCCUAACAUCCCUCCCACCCUCCUUGAGAUGCGGCUUGGCCCCAAGCCGCAGCAGCCGAGAACCACCCGGGUCCCAUUGCACUCAAUGUUGCUUGGCAUGGUCGUAGUCGUGGUGGUAGCUGUAGUUGAUGUUGACUUCAACGCUGUAGUGGUUGUAGUGGUGGCCAACGGAGGCUUGCCGACGGGAGGUGUCGAGGUAGUUGUUAUGGCCACCAGGGUCUUGAUCGCCGUAGUAAGUGUAGUAGAUGCAGCAAACAUGCCCAGCAUGAGCUCCGUCGCCCCUCCAUCCUUGAGUAACUUCUUGAUAGCAAUUGGGAUGCAGCAGUCCCCAUGCAUAACAACCCAAGGGAACACAACCCUCGCCGUUCUAGCCGCUUCCAACCUCCUCUGGCCAUUUGCUUAAAGAGCCUUGUAGUUUCCACUCACGCUUGCACUGAUCACCGUCGGCCUGUAUAAUUGCACAGAUGGGAACCUCACAGUGAUGCCCUGAAGCAUCUUCAAGUAUAGUGGGGAUACUCAUUCUCGCUGAACUAGAGUUCACAAUUCCAAAAUAUGCAGAGAAUGUUCGCUGAUUUGAAUAUGGCAGCGACUCCCAAAUGUCACCGAUGUCCCACAAAGCUUGCGGCUCACAGGCUUCGCCGCAUCCAACAAGCUGACUAUAUGUGUUGAGUGUAUCAUAUUCAGAAGUGAUUCCCAUGAGGUUGCUCCUGAUACAAGUGUCAGAAAUGCAGUAAUACCAAGCUUCAUGUGCAUAAACAUCUGUGGAUAGUAACUUCACUGGCCCAAAAUGGGAACCUGAUUAUUGUACUUUGAAUAACUGCAAAUAAUUUUAUGUAGGAGGUCUCUGAAUUCUCCCAGUCUGUAGUGCCUCAGUUCCAAUUCCCUGGAAAUAAUUCCCCUCAACUCUGGCCAACUGGAACUUGCAUGUGUUUUAGUAUCAGUUGGCCGAUGAUUCGUUUCAUUGUAUCUCGAGUUGAACCAUGCACCAGCCCUUAUAAUUGCUGAGAUACCCCAUACCAAGCGAUGUACUGAAUCAAUUGUAUGCGCAGUAUAAUCACAUAGAUUAUUUUGACUGGAGUCUGCCAUUCCCCAAUAUGCAAGGUGGGGCUGCUGAUUCAAUCGGAACAAGAACGCCCAGUCCUCAGGAGCUUGCUUCAAUGGAACUUGCGCAUAAUAUUCAGGCAGCCAAAUGUGCUUGUCCACCAGACUAGUGCUAGCAAACAAGGUUUUAAGGGAAGGAUCAUCUCUGAACUGAACUGCUCUAUAGACGCAUGAAAAUGAUGGCCAGGGUAACUUAAGCGACACAUUCCCUUGAGUGCAUACUGCAUAAGAUGAAACUGAAGGUCGCCAUGCGUAUGACUGGUGGCUUGUAGAGAAACCCGGCAAGGGAAGUACUAGGAUAGUACAGGGAGGUGUUUCCCCUUGUAAUUGUUCUAUGGAUAGUACUAACACACUCUCCAUGCCACUGCCCUUGUUCAGCUGCUGAGCGAUAGGCCUGACAGGUGCACCGGCUAUACUGAAAGCCACUUGAGACGUGUCCCAAACAGAGAGAAGAACAUAUUGUGCACAGCUGCAUGCCCAGGAGCUACCAUAAUGUGCAAAAAUGACAUCUGAAUCCCACUGGCAAGCAGCCAGAAUGGCACAAGGGAACCAACAAUACGGGCGUUGUAAUAGUUGUGGCGGACAGCUUAACCAUAGAGACAAAAUUGGAAUUGAUAGUAGCUCAUAACACAUUUGGCAAAGUACCUCCCUUCACCUCCAUGAGCCGAGAACCUCUCAAACGCAACAACUGAACACCAUUUAUUGCAAUGCCAAGAUGUAUUAGUUGUCCAUGAAUUCAGAUAUGCAGCAAGAUCAUUGGGUAGUUCUGACCACACUUGCAUUGCUCGGCAAUUGCAAGAACAAGAUGGCCUUGGAAGCUUCAGAUGGACAUUUUGUUGACUGACCCUGAACAUCCGUUGUGCAUGUUGAGCAUGAAAUAUUCCAGAGAACUGCACAAAAACAAUAGGUGACUGCCUUUCCACAACACCCCGGUACAAAUCAUCCAUAAUUUGAGUUAUCAGCUGACUCGGAAGAGGAAUUUCUCUUGGCAUUUUUUAGGCCUAGGAAAACUACCUACAACAGCAACAACAACAACAACAAAGCCUUUAGUCCCAAACAAGUUGGGGUAGGCUAGAGGUGAAACCCAUAAGAUCUCACGACCAACUCAUGGCUCUGGCACAUGGAUAACAAGCUUCCACGCACCCCUGUCCAUAGCUAGUUCUUUGGUGAUACUCCAAUCCUUCAGGUAUCUCUUAACAGACUCCUCCCAUGUCAAAUUCGGUCUACCCGGACCUCUCUUGACAUUCUCCGCACGCUUUAGCCGUCCGCUAUGUACUGGAGCUUCUGGAGGCCUGCGCUGAAUAUGCCCAAACCAUCUCAGACGAUGUUGGACACGCUUCUCUUCAAUUGGUGCUACCCCAACUCUAUCUCGUAUAUCAUCAUUUCGGACACUAUCCUUCCUCGUGUGGCCACACAUCCAUCCCAACAUGCACAUCUCCGCCACACCUAACUAUUGAACAUGUUGCCUUUUAGUCGGCCAACACUCAGUGCCAUACAACAUUGCGGGUCGAACAACCGUCCUGUAGAACUUGCUUUUUAGAUUUUGUGGCACUCUCUUGUCAUAGAGAGUGCCAGAAAACUACCUACAACAGCAUGUUCAGAAAAAUUCCAAUGCCCCUGCUCAAGGACAGCUGUAAACUGAUGCUCAAGAGGUUCCAAUGCACAAACAGUAUUAACAGCGAUAGCCCCCCAGUGAAGCAAAAUUGUCAACAAUAGAAUAGUAUUCAUUCGGUAGUUCACACUUCAGCUGCAUACUGUGCAAAUACUUCCAGGAUUCUCUCAACGAUUUUGGAACACCAGAAAAAGGAAAAGUAUCUAGUGACAGCAGUCCAAUGUACUUCCUAUUAGGGAAAGAUACAACUUAGUAUUAUGAGGAGGCUAAAGCCAACAUAUAUACAUGUACAAGCCCCAAUAUGCUUGGUAAGCUCAUGCUUCACAGGAUCCCGCGCAAUAUUGAUAACACUUGUACUGUCUGACAAGAGGGUAGUAGGUGUAGUAACAGAAACACCAAAAUCCUCAAGCAACCAUCAUAACCAGGUCACCUCUGCCGUCAAUAGAGCCAUAGCCCGCAACUCAGCCUCUGCACUCGAAUGGGAAACUACAGUUUGUUUCUUUGUCUUCCAAGCAGUGAGAGAACCGCCAAAAAAAACACAGUAAGCAGAUAGUGAAUGACGAUCCGAGGGAUCACUAGCCCAUGUAGCAUCCGAAUAGGCCUGGAGCUCUAGCGAGCUGGAACGGGGAAAUAAGAGACGGUGAGAGAUCGUGCCACGAAGAUAUCGUAGAACACGAAGAAGGUGACUAUAUUGAACUGAAGUGGGAGCAGAAACAAACUGACUCAGAACAUGGACAGGAUAGGAGAUAUCUGGAUGAGUGACAACAAGAUAGACAAGACUCCCAACAAGCUGACGAUAACGCGUGGGAUCAGAUAAGGGCUCACCAUCGGAAGCACGAAGGUGAACAUUGAGCUCCAUAGGAGUCUUAGCGGUGCGCUCAUCACUAAGAGCCGCACGAGUGAGAAGGUCCUGGAUAUACUUUUCUUGGGAAAUAAAGAAGCCAUCAGAGGUAGAAGAAACCUCAAUCCCAAGAAAGUAGCAAAGAGGACCAAGAUCCGACAUACGAAACUGCUCACUAAGACGUGCCUUGACAAAGGCAAAGUACUCAGAGUCAUCACCAGUGAUAAUCAUGUCAUCAACAUAUAGCAGAAGAAGAGUCCUACCACAAGGAGAAAGGUGGACAAACAACGCUGGAUCAUGAACACUGGGCGAAAAACCAGUGGCAGUCGCCACAGAGGCGAAGUGCUCAAACCAAGCACGGGGGGCUUGCUUAAGGCCAUAGAGAGAGCGGCGAAGACGACAAACCAUGCCAUCAGGAACAUAAUACGCAGAUGGUGGCUGCAUAUAAACCUCCUAACGCAACUCACCAUUUAGAAAGGUAUUCUUCACAUCAAUCUGAGACACAGACCAAUGGCGAACAGAGGCCACGGCGAGAAGUGUGCGAACAAUGGUCAUAUGGGCCACAGGAGCAAAAGUCUAAUCGUAAUCACGACCAUGCUCCCGUUGAAAACCAUGAGCUACAAGACGAGCUUUAUAAUGCUCUAGAGAACCAUCAGAGCGGGUCUUAAUCUUAUAUACCCACUUACAAGUGAUAGGACGAACACAGGGAGGAAGAGAAACUAGAUCCCACGUGUCGGUGCGCUCAAGGGCGGCAAUCUCCUCUGCCAUCGCAAACUGCCAUUCAAGAUGAACAACAACAUCUCGAUAAGAAGUCGGCUGAACAACGGUCGAAAGACCAUAGCAAGAAGGAGAAUAUCGGUCAGGGGGCAGACAAGGCCGAGAGCGAAGACUGUAAGUCGGCUGAGAGGAGGAAGACACACUGGAAGUAGAGGGCACAUUAGUAGACUCAUCCACAACACGUGAACGACAAGUAUAAUGGAAAGGAAAGGAGGAAAGAGGUGGAACCACUGGAGGUGGAGACGAAGAAUAUAACGGUGAUGAAGGUGUAGAAGUGGAAGGUAUCGGUGAUGAAGGUGGAGAAGUGGAAGGUGUUGAUGGUGAAGGUGGAGAGUCAUGCGAGGAGGGGGAAGAAGAACCCGUACGUAGGAGAGGACGGCGUCCAAUAUACAACGGCGGGACGAGGAGUAGGAAUACUAGGCAUAGAGGGAGGUGUAUCCGAAAAUGUAAGAAAAGAGAUGUCCUCCGUGGUAAAGGCGGCAGAGGAUGGACGCGGGUAGAAGGGGCGAGACUCAUGAAAGGUCACAUCCCGGGAAAUACGCAUCCGGUGACCGAUAGGAUCCCAACACCAAUAGCCCUUAUGCUCAUCACUAUAUCCAAGAAAGACACACUCAACAGACUGAGCAGUCAGUUUGGUGCGUACACAAGGGGCAAGCAAAACAUAGCAAACGCAACCAAACAAACGAAGCGCUGAAUAAUCAGGAGAAUGACCAGAAAGAUGCUCGAGAGGAAUACCACCUUGUAGAGUAGCAGAUGGCUGAAUAUUGAUGAGAUAGGUGGAAGUGGUAAUAGCCUCAGCCCAGAAGUGAGGUGGAAGAGAGGCGGAGAUCAUCAUUGCACGCGCUGUCUCAAGAAGGUGACGAUGCUUGCGCUCAGCCACACCAUUCUGAGCAUGAGCACCAGGGCAAGAGAACUAAGUAAGAGUACCCUGCUCAGCAAGGAAACCUCGCAGCGCAUGGGAGAUAUACUCACCAGCUAAAUCUGCACGAAAAACACGAAUAGGAGUGGAAACUGUGUAUGAACCAUGGCAGCAAAUUUUUUGUAUAUAGAUAAGACCUCACUACAAGACGACAUGAAAUAGAUCCAAUUGUACUGAGAAAACUCGUCUAUAAAGAUAAUAUAGUAGCGAUGACCUCCUUUCGAAGCGAAGGGGGCCGAACCCCAAACAUCAGAGUGAAUGAGGUCAAAAGGGCGCCCGGAUACCGACUCACUGUGAGGAUAGGGUAGCUGAAUCUGCUUACCAAGCCUACAACCCAGACAAUCCAACGAAGCGUUACCGGAGACAGAUCCCAGAACACCACGAUGAACCAAGGACGAGAGACGCGAACCACAUAAAUGGCCAAGCCAAUGAUGCCACUGCUGAAAAGAGCUGGUAGAUGCAGCAACAGAGGUUGCGAAACUGGCGCCGGUGGCAUCAGAGGGAAGAUGAAGCCAAUCAAGCUCCCAGAGACCAUCAGGGCGUCGAGGGCCAGCACCAAGUAGGGCGCCUGUGCGACGAUCCUGAACAGAACACGAAUCAAAGUCGAGAAUGACCCGACAACUAGAGUCAACAAUCUAACCUCCAGAUAUGAGCUGCAUGGUAAGUCGAGGAACAUGAGCGACAGAGGGAACAUGAAAUGAAGAAGUGCUAAGAGUGCCUCGACUAGCUACAGGGAGGGGAGUGCCAUCAGCCGUAAAAACACGAAUAAGAGACUCGACAGGUCGAACGGAGGUCAAAGUGGAAGAAUCAUAAGUCAUAUGAAAAGAUGCUAUGGUGUCAAGAAUCCACGGGGAUGUACCUGAAUAAGAAGGUGGUUUCUCAGUGCCAGAAGAGACAGUCACGGAAACUGCAGAACCUGUCGGUGAAGAAUCCCAGGCAGCAAGCAGGCAUCGCAACUGCGCAAUCUCACGCGCAGAUAGGGACACGACAGAGGAGGUCGAGGUAGAAACACGUGUUGAUGGCGAGCAGUCGCCACCACCUGUGGAAGCGGCGUGUAGAGUCGAUCGCGAGUAGCAAGUCGACGUAGAGCCACAUGUGGAAGCCAAUGGGGGAGUCGAUGUAGAGCGAUCACCGCCGCACGCGAAAGCCGCGGGAGGAGUCGGCGUAGAGCGGUCACCGCCGCGCACGGAAGCCGCGAGAGGAGUUGGCAUAGAGCGGUCACCGCUGCACGCGGAAGCCACGAGAGGAGUCGAUGUAGAGCGGUCACCACCGCACGCGGAAGCUGCGGGAGGAGUCGGCGUAGAGCGGUCACCGCCGCGCACGGAAGCCGAAGGAGUCGAUGUAAAAUGGCUAGCAACACCGGCGGAUGUCGCAUAAGGUGUCGAAGUAGGGCGACAAGCACCACCUCCAAGCAGGCGAGCAGCAAGCACCGAGGAAAGGCGCUUGUGCGAGACGGGAUUAAUGUAUAGAAUACCAUCGAAAAACACCGGGCAACGCAGGAGAGGCGUACCGGACGAAAACAUUGCACCUCUUUUUUUUAACUCCUCUUUCUUUUUUUUUCUUUUUUUAACAAUCACAGAACUGAAGCCAGACAACCGGAAGCAGAAGCAGGCCAACUGGAGCCUUGCUGCCCAUAAGCAGCCCAAAGCAGAGCAAUGCACACGCCGCACAGGGUGGACGCGCACAUACACAGAGGAAGUAGGUGGAUCAAUUCUGUCCACCCAGUCAAAUACAUGUCCUGAGAUGAAACCAAUCCCAGUGGCCGGUCUAGCACGGGAAUCACGGGAAUCCAGUUGACCGGCGACCGGCGGCUGUUCUUGGACGGAAUCCAGCGGACGCGUACGGCAGCGGAGUGGCCUAGAGGAGGGGCAGCGGGGCGGACGCGGGAGCGCAUGGCCUGAGGCGGCAGCAGGAACCGGCGACUGACGGACGCGUACGGCAACAGAGCAAUAUGGAGGAGGCGAAGCGGGGUGGACGCGGACGCACACGGCCUGAGGUGGGGCGGCAGCGGCUUGGCCGGGAGAAGGCGGGACCGGCGUCCUACGCGGGCGUCCCGAUCGACCAGAAAUUAGGGCCGGCGUCCUGGGUGACUUGGAUCAGAAGAGCAGCGGACGAGAGGGACCAGUGGCAGCGUAUGUCCUUGGCAUCGAUUGCUACGAACAGAUCAAUUUAGAAGAGAUCAAUCGAGAGAAGAAGACCGGAAAAAAUCGAUCGUCAAGCGAGUUGCAGCGCCAGAGAAAGCCUAUGUUAGGGAAAGAUGCAACUUAGUAUUAUGAGGAGGCUAAAGCCAACAUAUAUACAUGUACAAGUGGGAGGCCAAAGGCCAGAAUGCAAAAGGCCAAAGGUCAUCAGAAAUAUAACUCUAACACUUCCGACAUAGUUCAUGAGAGCAAGCUAAUGACGGCCAUGGCCGUUUCUUGUUUCCAACUGCAUGAUCUCUCCAAAAUGAUGGCCAUGGCUUUGGUCGUAACAACAACCAUGAGGGAGUCACGGCUGGGUGGAUCACAUACCUCAGCAGGUUGGUGUCAUGAUGAGAGUAUUUUGUCGAACACGUGGUAAGCAUUGACGCAGAGAGGUCGCUGGGGAUGAUGAGGAUGCUGCCAUGGUCCUCCUUGCUCAUCACUUGGGUGGAGGUGUUGACAGAGAGGGCAUUGAGCUCUUGCACGACGACCUUGGGGUCAAUGUCGAUGGUGGUCGUCACGGUCGAAACGACCUCGGCACUAGAGGAAGUGGUGCCAAUGGAGGUCGUUGCCUCAACCAGAGCGAGCUGCUCGACUGCUUGGUGGAUGGGGUCGACUGUUGGCUCUAGGUGGACGGCGGAGGCGGCGUCAUGGACCUCGUCGAUGUUGUCGAUGGUGAUGACAUGGGUCGAGCACUCCGUUGAACAGGUGACGGGCACCAUCACGGUGCAAACCAGGACUGCAUCAGGAGUGAUCGUGGGGAUCUCCUGAGCCUCAAUGGUGGGCCAGAGACAUCAGGGACGGUUGCCGACGCGUCGGUUGUGCUCUCCGGCGAAGUGGUCGCUAAUGGUGGAUUGUGGACGAAGGCGGGUGAACUGGUGGCCCAACUGGUGUCAAGGGCGUUCAGUUUCUUGGUGAGGGACCUGGUGGCGUUGGUGUAGGCAUUGAGACUGGCGUUGAGCCGCUCGAGGUAUUCACUGAUCAAUGGAUCCAUGGCCUUCUCUCGAAUGGUGGUAGUGAUAAAAAAUUAUGGAAGUAUUUUGGGAAGGAAGGGUGGUGCCUGGCUCUGAAUACCAGAUGUAAGGAGCUAGCUGUAGUCUUGCUCGUAAUCUGUCUCUCUCAGGAAGGUUUGAUACAGAGUAGCAAAUUACAACCAGAGGUUACAAGCGAAUUAGGGAAGAACAUGGAAGAACUGGAGGUAGGGGAAAGAGAGGAAGGUAGCCGCGGCCGAGCAGUUCAUGAUCCACUGGAUGGCCUCCUUCGUCGCCUCCUCUUGCGUAUUUGUAGUCUGGUGGUUCUCAAGCAGGCCAGGCCCAUGAGCUGGACGGGGCAAGCCCAUAUAGGCAAGGAGGGAUCCUAACAUCAACCCACCAGAAUUUCCGGGUAAUUUGCGAUAUCACACAGCCCUGCCAAAAACUUGAAAAUACUUUAUUUUUCGAGAAAACGCAAAAGACUUUUGCAUUUCAUUGCAUUGAAGAGAAGAAGUUUGGCAGAAUCCUCCUAGGAGGCGAGUUUACAAGAUGAGUACAGAUACACUAGUGGACAUCCCAAGUCUGAGGCAGGAUGGCGUCGAGUCCUAAAGCUCCUGCUCUGGCCUAGAAGGCAGCCUCUUCCGUAAUCCUAGCGACCAGGGAGGUAACCAAUGGGAGGUGCCCUCAAAAACGCACCCAUCGCGAUGCUUCCAAAUCAUCCAAGGGACAAGCAAGGCAGUGGAAGCCAAUCCCUUGUGCAUGGGUUUAGGGUUGUCUUGUCUUGCUGAGCGCCACCAGUCGUGGAGAGUGGCGUCAUCGUUGGGUAGCAGGCAGGAGAGGUGCAGCCAUGAGAGGAUCUCGUGCCACACCUGUCGGCUGAAAGGGCAUCCCAGGAGAAGAUGAUGAAUCAUCUCCGGAGCCUGAUCGCAUAGCGGGCAGCGCUGUGGGUGCGGCAGGUUGCGUCGCGCUAGGCGGUCUGCCAUCCAGCAAUGGUCAAGGUUGGCAAGCCAAUGGAAGAAGCGCACACGCGGCGGUCCAGCACUUCUAGGUGAGUCUCCAAGCCUGGCAGCGGGUGGAACCAUGGAAGGUGGCAAGGUAUGCAGACUUGGCGGAGUACUCGCCAUUCGCGCUCCAGUUCCAGCGAAUGCAGUCCGACGCGUAAUUGAGGGUAGUCUCGGCGAUCAUGUGCCAAAGGCAUAGGUAUUCGCCAAUCUCCGGGAUGCCAAUCAUGUCGUGGAUGUCGGUGUCCCAUUGGUUCGCAUGGAGGCCGUCAGCAACAGUUCUGGACUUGUGACAUCGCUUGGGGAUGCGAGCGUAGAGGAGAGGCGCAACCUCACAGACCGCUCGCCCGUUGAUCCAUCCAUCCUCCCAGAACAGGGCAUGCAGGCCAUUGCCGAUUGUCAUGGUAGUGGAGGCGAAGAAGAAUGCGCACUCCGCAGGCGAGAAUUGCAAGUCAAGGCCGUUCCAGGCCCUGCUAUCAUCGACGCGGCUGAGCCAUUUCUACCGCGUGCGCAAGGUGAGGCCGGUGCACUCGAGGUCAUGGACGCCGAGGCCGCCAAACGGGAUUGGCCGACAGACGCGCCGCCAGUUGACGUGGGAAUUGCCACCAUUGGCCUCGGCACGGCCAGCCCAAAGGAAUCCUCUUUUGAUCUUCUCCAAGAGCUUGAUGGUCUUCCUUGGCGGCGCGAGCACAAGGAGCUGGUGGAUGGGGGAUCGCGCUCAGGACAGCCUUGACGAAGGCAAGGCGGCCGGCUUUGUUCAUGAGCCACGCCUUCCAGAAGGGUAACUUCCCAGCGACUUUGUCGACGACAGGUUGAAGCUGGGCAGCGGUGGGGCGACGCAGCGUGAGCGGGAUGCCCAGGUAGGUUAGCGGGAAUUCGACGAUGGGGCAUCCCAGGCGCUCGACGACAUGGGCGGCAUCCUCGGUGUCUCAUCGGAAGAGGGCUGAGGCGCUCUUCUGGAAGUUCAUGUGCAGGCCCGAGGCACACCCAAAGAGAAUAAGAUUUCCUUCACCGCCGCGAUAUCACCCGGCGAGGGGUGGCAUAGGAGAAUUAUGUCGUUGGCAUAGAGAGAUAUGGUAGGUAUGGUGCGGCAUGGAUGGAACUGUUGCAUAACACGGAGCUCGACCGCGCGAUCGAAGAGCCUGCCCAGCGUAUCGACAGCUAGGACGAAGAGUUGUGGGGAUACGGGGUCACCUUGGUGCAGCUCACAACUGUGCCAGAUCGCGGGUCCGGGGGUUCCGUUCAAGAGAACCUUGGUGCUGGCGACGACAGGAGUAGAGCGAUCCAAUCGAGGAAGCGAUUGCCAAAGCCAUGGCAUCGCAGCACCUCGAACAAGAACGGCCAUGAGACGGAGUAGAAGGCACGCGCCAAGUCAAGGUUCAGAAGCACGCGGGGGGCACCGAGAUGGUGCAAACAGAAGCGCGGAUUGGCGCACCAGGAUGAAAUUGUUGUGAAGGCUUUGCCCGGGGAUGAACGCAUUUUGGACGUUCCUGAGCAGGUUCUUGAGCUUGGGCGCUAGGCGGAGCGAAAGCAACUUGGCCAGGACCUUGGCGAGCGAAAACUUGAAAAUAUUGUUGCAUAAGUUGGGAUUGUUUGCACCAUGGAUUGAUAAGAACUUCCUUAGCACCAUCAGAGAGGUACUUCUCACUCCAAUCCAAACAUCUUUUGCUAAACUUGUCCUUGAUGUACCGGAGGGCCCAAGUAUUUCUCUUCGAAACCCACUGUUGUGAUAUCAAGACUUGACUGGUGUCAGACUAUUGAUGCCAUUUGUUUGCCACAUCAUCAAACAGGGAAAGAUAUAGAUAGAUGGUGAAAUAUGGCACGGGUGAAGGUAAGAGCUUACUGUGGUAACACAAACCUUACCCGUUCCGUCAGCAUGAAGUGGUUUGUUUGAUGACACGACAUGACAGACAUGCACUAUCCAUGUCAGCCAAAAUCACUUGUAUAAACACCCGAGAUUGCGAAGUAGACGAUUUUGAUACUUCGAGGUUGCAACUCCCAUGGUUUUAGGGUUCAGGGUUGAAAAGUGGACCCAUUUUUAGUCUAAUAUAUAGCUGGCUUGACAGAAAGCUUGGUCCACAAUUGCUAUCCUGUACCUCCACCUUAAUUCCUCUGAAAGCAAGAUCCAUAUACUCUGAUCUACACCACUAUUUAACUGUUCUAGUCUAUCUUGGAAUAUCAAAUCUGGGUCCCCACUGUACACCCGUGUUCAGUUUGGCAGGGAAUGGAUGCCCUUGGUAAUCUAGGUAAAAAAGUUAAAAAAUCCCUAUGUAUAGGAAAAAGAAAAUUGGAUGGACCGUAUUUUCUUCGCCACGGAUACAAUGGCCACUCAUUCCCCACGAAACUGAAUACUGGUGUACAAUGGGCACCCAGGUUUGAUAUCCCAAAAUUUCAGAAUUUUUUGAAAUUUUCUGAUUUUUUUAAUGCUAUAUUCAUAUAGGGGGGUGUGGCACCCGAGAGCUGCGAUGCAUUUUUCCUUCCAUGCAUGCCAUAUACUAUCAUGUUGUAAAUGGGACAUUUUGAUGGACUAAGAUUAAUUAUACUCUAUCCCAAAAUAAAUGUCUCAAGCUUAGUUCAAUUUGUACUAAAGUUAGUACAAAGUUGAGACACUUAUUUUGGGACGGAGGGAGCAUUUGCAGGAAAACAACAUAUGCUUGGUAAACAUUUCAAAAUUGUUCACAGACAUUAAAAUAUGUACAUUUCAUAGCUGAACUUCUUGGUUGAAGAAAACUUCACAUGGCUAAUUCAAAUAAACAUUAAUGUUGUUGUGCAGGUAGGUCUUAUCCUUCGUGCACUGGGCUUUGAUAAUACAACACACAUUUACCUUACUUCUGGAGAUCUCUUUGGUGGGAAACGCUUCAUGAGGCCCUUCAAGGCUAUGUUUCCGCGCCUAGAAAACCAUAGCUCCGUUGGACCUGGAAAGCUGGAAGAAAAUACCCAUGGGUUGGCAGGUUCUGCAGUUGAUUACAUGGUCUGUCUCCUAUCAGACAUUUUUAUGCCCACAUAUGAUGGCCCAAGCAACGUUGCAAACAACCUCACUGGUCACCGCCUAUACUAUGGUUUCCGUACCACCAUCACACCAAAUAGGAAGGCCCUUGCUCCGAUAUUCAUGGACAGGGAAGUAGGCUCGACAGCUGGUUUUGAGGAGCGAGUGAGGCAGGUCAUGAUGAAGACAUAUGUUGGUGGCCCCCACAAGCGCAUUCAUCCGGAACCUUUCUAUACAAACUCAUGGCCAGAGUGCUUUUACCAGGAGAACCCUAGGAAUCAUGCAGACAAAUGCCCACCAGACAAUAUAUACGAGGUUCUGGAGAAUCAAUUUCGGAGUGAAGAGAAUGAAGAAAGUAUAGAAGUGAAAGCCACGAGUCAGACUGAUUCAAUCAGCCAAACCGAAGAGAUUGUGAUUUAACUGAGGAACCAAACUGUUAUUGUCUCAGAGGACGAGACUGGAUCAUUUAUGCCUGUAGCAGAUUAUUGCAUUUUCGAAUGGAU